AGUUUUCAGAUUCUAUGGCAAUGCGAUAUUAGUUAGGCAGUUGUGAUUUGUAGUCCCAUGCAUUGGAUCACUAACUUAUCCACAAGUUAAUCUUUUACUCCAGAGAGAUUGGGAUGUUUAGGGCGCCAUUUUUUGCCCUGGUGCCUGUCAAUUCCACCAUGUGCAUGUUUAUCAUCAUUUUCUUCUUCUUUUGCUGCUCUUUUCAGUUUCUUAUGCACCUUAGGGUGAAAUGCUGAAGUUUAAGCUUUUGUGUAGCCAUCGUUUGCUUUGUGUUCUCUGCUACUUUUAAGGCUUAUUUUUGCAUAUUUUAGAGUAAGAUCUACUUUAGGGGUCUUGGCAGACAGCCCUUAGAAUGCAGAGAUUGUUGUCUUGCCUGCCGUUUAGCACUUUUGGAUUCUGCUAGCACAGUUUUUAGUGAGCUCUUUUAAGCAGUAAUGCAAAUAAUCUGGCUAUUCUAUUGAAAUGUGCACCUAGCUUGUGAAGAAGUAGCUUCACUAAAGGGCCAUCUACUGUUGCAGAUAUUCUGGAUUUGCCGAUGUAAUGAGACUCCACCGCAUGAAGCCACCAUAUUGUGACAUAUUCUUGAUUGCCUAGGCCAGGGGGAGCUGCUGCUUUAGGCUUUUACCUAACUUCACUUAGCUAUGUUUGCCUUGUGGAAGUAACUUGCAUAGUUGCAUCCUAGAUUCAUCUUAGAAUAUUACUUCUGGUGCAGCACUUGUGGCUCGUCUAUUGCAAUCCUCACUUACAAACUAUUGUUGAUAAUGGUUCCCAUCUAUCAAUUUUUCAUUUAGACAGUACUUGUGAACAUCUCAUUGUACUUCAUGUCAGUCAUAUUGGUCUGUGUUUAGUUCCCUAUGUCACAUAUUGGGUUGUCAUUAGGAAUUCUGUUACUUGUUAAGUUAUGCUUCAUGGACUGAUUGCAUUUUUUAGUUCUGCCCUGCAAAAACCUAUGUGUCUUCUCUGUUCUCUUUUUUGUUACUUGGUACGUAUGCUGGGUUCACUGUCUACACCUACGAUAUAGUUUAUAGUGAAGUUCUUUGUUCCAUAACUCAGGGCACUUACGCCGUCGUCUCCAGUUCCUAAAUUUGUCAGGAAAUCAUCCUUUAUUUGAUUCCUGUACAACUUAAUUUAGUACAUACCGACUGACAUGUCCCCCUCACAAGAGCGUAAGUAACAUUAUAUUUUGUUUGUCGGAGUCUAUAUAUCUAUAGCAUCUUAUGUCGUGAGCCUGUCAGUUUGACAAAAAAUUAGCUAUCACAGGUCCUACUAUAUCCCCCUAAGUGCUAAAAUUUUCUGUUAGAUUUGGAGGUGACUACUUAUCCUAUGCUCCUAUUAGGAACCUUCUAUCGAUUCUUUUGUCAAGAUGCCCAUUACUAUAAUGGUAUUGCUGAGUACAAAGUCUGUAAGGUAACAAUAUAGUACCAAUAUUGACACAAACCUUGGCGUUGCCAUUUUGACAACAACCACUAUAACUUCCUCAAGACAACUUUUUUGAUUCUCCAUUUUUGCCCUAUUUCCUACUUCAUUUUUGGGAACUAUUGUCAUAAUUGUCAUGCAUCUCAUCAAUAUAUAUUUUCCAAUUUUACUGUGUGCAUCUUAUUCUUUUUAGUGAUUUCACACUUAGCUGCCAUUAUUUUCUCAUCAUUGCCUUUGUUUGUACCUACUUUUUUUUAGCCAACCGCUAUAGGAGCCUUGCUCACAGCUUGAUUAGCUAUUUUUGUUUCUUAUAUGGAGUUUUGAGUGUAUUAGGGGUAUCUACUUUAAGUGUUACGCAUUUAAGGUCUUUAUAAAGUUAUAUCAUUUAAUCACCUUAACAUGCUCAUUGCUCUCCCCUUUUUGCCUCCUCUUUCCACCUUUAAUAGCUUUAUCUUCUCUGACUGUUUUUCCAACUUCUUGUUUGAGUCUUCACCUCAUAUUACUUUUGUUGGUCCUUCAAACAAAUUCCCAUUACUGGUCAUAGUUGACCUAAGAUAUUGAUUCUUGAUAGAUUUGGGGAUGUAUUCCACCAACUUGCCGUUGUUUUACCCCUAGAUGGCGACCCUAGAAACAUAAAUGCCACUUAUUUGUCAUCUUGGUGAAAAUUUCUUCUGAGUCACAAGCUCUACAUGCUUUACUUAUAAUUGAUUGUUCAUUGUUGCAAUCAUUAUUCAUCAGAUUUUUAGUCGUUCAAUAUAAUGUGAUAUGUGGUCUCAUGAACUUGUUUCUUGAUAGGGGACAGCACACCAUUGUCGGCAUUUUGCAUGACAAAUGUUGGAGAAUGGGAUGCAUUUAGGAAUGUUGAUAUGGAUGUGGAGGUUUGUUACUUUACUGUUUCUUUUGUGAAGUGUAUAUGUUCAUUACUUGUUUUCUUGGGUAUGAAAGUAACUCAUCAAAAUUUUAGAAUGUGGAGAUUGCUGGGAACCAAAUUUUAGACUAAAACUUUAUGAAUUUGCUAUAACGCUAACCUCAACUUUCUAGAUUCAGUGAUUUGAUAAAAGGGAUCAUUGAAGAGAAAAAUAAAUCACUUAUACUAAAAUUGAUCAACAUUUUUACAGGCACAUAGCAUUUGGUCAUUUGUGAUGUUCGCAUCAUGUUCUUUUAUUAUGUGCUCAUGCAUGUGUGAUAUCUAUAGAUUAUAUGCAUAGUCCAUAUGAAUUUGCUUUAACACUUACUCCUUAAAUUUGAUGGUAAUAAUCCUGGAUCUUUAUCGCUGGAACUGCAAAAGAGGUUUUAAUUUUUAGAGGCACAUCAUGCAUGGGCUUAUCAUCUUUGUUGGAUAGUGUUCAGACUUCAUCUUAAUCAAUGCACUUUCACCCACUUGCCUCUCUGUGUCGUCACGAUAUUUCAGCAUGCACUUGUUGGCUAUAGCCAAAGUUUGCCAGUGCCAUUGGACUUGUGUCAUAUUAGGAUCAAAAAAAAUCCAGAAAACCUUCCUUCGCUAAACCAUUAUUAGAUCCAAAACUAACAAAUGAUGGAUUAUUUUUCAGCUCACUACCAUUUCUGGUCUUCUGGCCUUUUUUGUAAUAUCCCUAUAAUUGUGAGAAUUGCUUGCUUCCUCUUAACCAGUAUAAUGUUUGAAUCCAAAGAAAAAGAAGUAGAAAAAUCCUAGGCAAAGCAGCCAAUUGGAGUUGAAUCGCAGUUUGCUCUCUAAUUUUCUGGCCUAUUACUUAAGGCUAGUUUCUUGAGCUGUUUUAUAGGUAUUCAGUCCAUUGGUUGAGCCUUCCAUGUAUUAUUUGAUGAGUGCCCUGGAACCUAUUGUUAACUAGCUAGUCAGCACCGGUCUGGAUCAUUCUUUAAUCUUUGUUUGCUUGAGGGUAAGCCCUAAUCAUUUUUUUGUAGUCUAUUGUCAAGGUUUGACUUGGCUGCAGUUUGGGAAAUUAUUGAUAAUGUCACUUCAUAUGUAAUCACUUAAUAUAGUGCCUUUUGCUUUAAUGAGUACUCUUUAGUAUCGAUGGUAAGAUAUAUAAGUAUCACAUUUUGUUUACAGCAGUUUAGCAUGUCAAUAAUUACAAUUCUGAUUUUUGUGUUAGGCAAACAUGAUACAAGCCUUGGAAAAAUCUUCAACAAAAAGAAAAGGCCAUGUUGAUAAUGAUAAGAAGAUUGCAUUGAAUGCAUGGCAUCGGGUAGAUUGCCGAACAAGAGAAGCACUGCGGCGUAAUUUCCUAUCCGAACUGGUUGAGAGUUAUGAAGUAAGUUGUUUAAUAAAUUAUAUAUUUGAUAAAUUUUUGGAGCCCCAGCUACAUUUGUAUACUUCUUGACAUGUUUUUCCAACAUGAUGUCGAUCAUCUGUUUUCCUUUUCAGAAUUGAAUAUGUGCUACACAUUAUUUGAUUCUGUUUUUCACUAUGUACUUCAACUUUUUCCGAUUCUGAUUAAACUUUGUUUCCUGAUGGUUAGGAAGUAGAAAGGUGGAUGAGUUGGCAUGAGUAAAUUGAUGGCCUACGGGUUUAUGAGUGUAUAUAUGUUGAAAUGUUUGCUUUUCUUGUUCAUAUUUAAUAUUUUGAUGCCAGAGCUUAAGGAAGGCUCAACAUCUUUUUCGCUUUUUAACACAUUGUACAUUUUUGUAUCUUCAGAGACAUCUGAUAGACUUGGAAAACUUCAGAGAAGAUCAUUAGGGUGAUAGGGUCCUCGUGCAGGGAUGGUGUGCACAAUUUUUGAAACAUAGUGAAAAAACUUUCUAAUCUGUUUCGGUUAAAUUUGUGGAUCCUUUUUUGCCUCAUUCUUGUUGAGGACUACAUUUUGAAGUUUAAACCAACGGAUUUCUUUUUGUUCCUUCCUCCCUCAACUUUUUAAACUUGGUUUUUCCUUUUUGACUUUCAAAUAUUUCAAUAAUAUCAUUUUCUCUAUUAUUUGAUCCAACUAUGAGGACCGUUGCCACCAACUUCUCUUCAGUCGUUGUGUAUGAUCCUGAUCAAUACUCCACCACUUUACAUCUUUUUGUCUAACUCAUGAGAAUCCUUUAUCUUACAUAUUUGACUCUAUCUUUAUGGUACUUUUGUUCCUAGUUUGUUGAGUGCCUCCUUUCAUUGUAUUUUCCCCUAAAGCUGUGAAUAGUGCUUGUUUUGGGACAAAUAAAUCAUCCAUUCACAUUGUUUUAGUAUUUAAUCUUUGUUUUUGAAACCCUUAAUCUUUAAUGGGUUUGACUUAUAUAAAUCCAGCAACUAAAAUUGUUUGUGUUUCUAGACAUGAGGGGUAUUCAGCAAAAUGGCCAAUUGCUCUUAUAUUUGAAGUGCUCGCACUUCUUUUCUUCCACUUAUUUUGCAGCUUUGAUGGAAUACAUGAAAUUUGGUCUUCCUUGUGUUCUUUCAAAAUGUGAGGUGUGUAUAUGGUCUGAACCACCUUUUGGGGUGAGUUUAAAUCCCUUUUCUCUUCUGCCUAAUUCUUCAUCUUUCUAAACGUUCUCUUCCAUCCCGCGGACAUUAUUAUCGCUCUGAUACCUUCAACCCUUCUCCCAUGGAUGCCAGACAUGUUAGGCCCUCCAAACACUAUAGCCAGCCACUUAUCUUGCUUCCAGUUUGAGCCCAGGCUUGUAUUAAAUUUUUGAAUGCUCAAAGAUUAUAAUUUUUUGGUAUAAGGCUCAAGCUUGAUAUUUAAACCAUAUAAAUUAAUCAAACAUCAGGCGCCAUACUAAAGAUGUUUACUAUUGCUGAUUUCUGAAAAGCUGGACCUUACUUCUUGACUGUACUGCACAUUCAAAGAAUCAUAUAACCCAAGCUAUAUGGGGCAGAAUUGUGACAAAUUAAGGGACCAUAUGAUGACUAUAAGAUACUGAGAAAUAAUCUAUGGGAAUGAGUGAUAUGGUCUUGAAAUUUUGGAAUUUAGUUGCACCAGAUUGCUCCACAUCAGCUGGUAAUGCUUCACAACCACAUCAGGAAGUGAUAUGGUCUUAAAAUGUUUGAAUUGAGUUGCACCAGAUUGCUCCACAUCAGCUGGUAAUGCUUCACAAUCACUUGAUGAAGUGAUAUGGUCUCGGAAUUUUUGAAUUCAGUUGCACCUACACAUCAGCUGGUAAUGCUUUGCACUUACAUCAUGAUGGUAUUUUGUGAUAUUGCACAAAAUACUGAACACAAUGGGAUAGCUCUUGCUAUUGGUGUGAUAUCCACCUGCUACACGGUACCAAUUCUUUAUGGUCUUACAAACCAUAGAGUACAGAAUAGUUUCCCAUGAGAACAUGUAAAUUGCUCAUGCAUAAAACCUAGAAUAAACAAUCGCUAAUUUUUCAAGGUUCUAUUAUAUUUCUAGUUUCCUAAUCUUAUUUAUAUUAAAUUUGUUGUUCUUUUGGCAGUUGUUAUUACAUAAUGUACAUAAAACUUAUACCAUGACAUUGGAUAUCAUAUGUAUCAGCAAUCAAGCUAACCAUAACAAGUGCCUAUAUUUAAAAGCUUAGGGCUUGUCACUGGUUUUGGCCGGCUACAUAUGUCAAACAACUACAUUAGUUAUCAUCAUCAAUAUUAAAAUUAUUAUCAUAUUUGCAAGUUCAGAGAGUUAGGAUGUUAAGGUCGAUUUCAAUUUGUGGACCACAUGAUAAUGCUUGUCUUGUUGCAAUUAUAAUAUCAGAGUUCGAACAAGCUAGAAGCUCUGAACCAAGGAUUUUGUUUUACUCUUAUGUUUUUCUCCAUCUUUAGGGGACAUUCACAUGUUUGAAUGCUUGCUUUGCUUAUAUCCGCACUAAAUUUUAUCAACUCUGAAGGAACACGUACGGGCAUUCAUCAAGGAUAGUGGAGAUGGCGAUGUGCUUGUGCUACAUGUUCAAGAUCCAUUUCACAGACUGUUGCUGCAUGGUGUAUGCGAGGUAAUUAUUUCUUUGUUGUGUUUGCAGAACCAUGAUCACGUCAAAACUUUAUAUUUGAACUGCCGACUGUUUUCACGGUUAAGCCUUCACUAGUUGGAAGUGGAUAGCACUGGCACUAUAUGAUGCCACUUUUUCUGCUUUCAAAAGAAUUAACAUGGACUGUAAAACAGGCGUUUACUUAUGUUCUUUGCUUUUACUAAAUUUUAGAAAUAAAGGUAUUGUAUAGGAACCAGAUUGGUCGAUAACUAUCCUUUUGAACUCAUAAUACUCUUGGGCUUCAUUGUUUAAAUCUGAGCCUUUUCUUUUCUUUAUAUACAGUUCUACAACCUGAUCUCUGUAACUGUUUCAACUGCGCCGGGUGCAAAGCGGUGGAAGAUAACAAAGAUUAAGAAGAAAUUGGGUUCUCAAGAGAUACCCCCAAAUAUCACACUUGUCCAAUUUCUUAAAAUGGCAAAGGAUGGGCUUUUAUAGUGUGCCUUAGGGGGAGAAACCCUUUGUAUAUUGAUUGAUUAUAAAUGUGAUCAAUUGCAGAUGUAAAUUAUUUAUCCCACGAAGCUGUUGGCUCAGAAGUCGGACAAAAUUCUACUUCAGAUGCAAUGCUAGAUUUAAGCAGCUACAGCUUAAUAAAAUAAUACACAUUCAUGUUCAUGGAAUCAUGCAUUGUGAUGAUAGCUUCCAACUUACAUGUUCUGGAUUGUGCACAAUACUUUUAUGCAAUCAUUGGAUUCGACAAUCUUUUUGGCCCCUAACAUCCCAAAUGUUCCGCACUAUUGUCUACAACCAUCAUUUUCCCCUUAGUUUCAAUGGACGAGUCAGGUGGGUUUGAAAGGAAAAAUUCCACUUCUUUUGCACAAAUGACAUGUCGAAAUUAACUAGACUAUUACACCUCCCCACCUUCGAAUGAUGCAUACAUUUGAUGUACACUACAAUCAUUGAUACAUGCAUAUAAAUAAUUACAGGUCGACGCACAUACAUGAAUUCUCUCGUGGUGAUCAUAAGGGCAGGUAUAUAAUUGUUUACUGAAAUCUAAAAUUGAUUGUGUUUGUAAAAGGUUAUAACCAUGCAACCACCUUUGCAAAUAUCAAACUAGGCUCAGCUGUUAAAAUGAACAAGCUACUUGUCGAGUUAACCUUCUCGGCCUAAGGUUUUAAUCUGAAUUUGCCACCAUCUGGUUUGAGCUUGGCUUAUUUUCUCUGUUGACAUGCUUAAUUAAUUAUUUAGUUAAACUCGAGCUGAUACUGAUACUGUAUCGAAUUGGAUAGUACAAAUAUAUUAGAUCAUACCUAUUUGGUAUCAGUAUACAGCAUAGAGAGUGUAUCUAUAUUUAGUACACCGAAUCAGCUUUUCUGCUAGAUGUAUCGACAUAAUAACAUCAGUAACGCAUCUUGAUUUGCAGCUUUAUAGAGAAUGGUUUCAUGCACAAGGAUUGUCUCAUCCAUGCAUGCACACAAAGGCUUGGUCUAUUUUGCCUCUUUGCAAACGAACAAACUCAGAAGCUGUGGGUGCUGAGAAGCAGUCCCACGCAACCCAUCGGCUAUAACGUCCCAUUCUCUCCAGCAAGCAAAACAUAUAUUAAACAUGGUUCCCGUUGUUUCUUAUCUCUUCCCGGGUCCCAAUUUCGCAACAUCACGAUCAGAAAGUCUUCCCCACUUCGUCUUCAUCUGUUCUUGCCUCUCAGAAAAAUCAAAUGCAAGUCUUCCUUGCAUCCCUCUCCACUCCCCCCCGCACCAAGCACCGUAAAAAACCACAGCUGAGCAAAAGAAUUGCAAAGAACACAGAGGGGAAGGAGCAUGGGUCAGUCCACAAGCACAAGAAGAGGAAGACACCACCGCCAUCGUUCUUUAAACCCCUCUUCCAUCCGUCCUCCACCCAACUUGGGCCUCUUUAAUCCUCCUCCACCACCACCUCCUCCCCAACCCAGUUAUCUUGUUUCUUUUCAAUCCACUCCUCACCACGCUCAUCAUCCUUCCCCAAGACCCCCUCCUCAUCCUUCUUCUUCUUCUCAUUAUGCUGCUGAUCGAGGAAGUGGGUGGCCGUCUUCCUCUUCCUCUUCCUUCUCGUCUUCUUCUGUGAAUGAGACGAUGGUUGCUUCGAGGCAGCCGGCUUCGUAUGUCGAGCAUCAGAAGGCGACGACCGUCAAGAACUAUGUGAAUUUGCAUAAGAACUCGAUCCGGCUGGAGCCUGACAAGCUCAAUCCUGAUCACCAUCUGGUUUCAUUCACUUUUGACUCUUUAGUUGAUGGGAGGUGAUUGAUUUUUAUUGCCUUUUUUAAUUCACUUUUGUGCUUCAAAUUCUAAUAUUGCAGCAUGCAAUUUUUGCACCUUAUCCAUUUAUAUGUUGCUUAGUUGGUUACUCAUACAGAAUUUAGUUUUCCAUUUGUUUUCCAUUCAAGUACCUGAAAAAUGAGUGAUAUUCCACUGAAUUUAUCAUUGAUUUUCAGAUGGAUGAAGAGCCAUUUUGUUUGUUGCAUUAGGUUUGCUAAUCUUAUCUAAAGAUGCAAUUAUUUUUGUUCCAAAAGUGAUUGGAGUUGAAGACUACUUAUUUCAAAGGAAGAAUUAAUUAUAGGACAAUCAACAAGAAUGUGCCUUGGCUUUCCCAACAUCAAAUUUGCCCUUAGAGCCUAUUUGGAUACAGAGAUCCUUCAAAUCACAUGUGAUAGUUGUAUCCAAUUUUUUAGUCAAAUAAUUUAGACACAAGCAGGAUAUUUAUUUACUAUUUACUUUAUGUAUCACAUUAGUUAAAACAAAGAAGUGGUCCGGAAAUUUCCUGAUUGCAUUCUGGAGUUAAACUGUAUGCUAAAAACAGAAGUCUCGAACAUUUUAUUGUUUCAAAAGCAUUUCGGCUGAAAUAGAACAUAACCAUGCCAUCAACUAUAUAUAGGUGCCUCACAGCUAGACUCAAUACAUUAUCUAGUUUUUGGAUAAUACAUGUAUUUCUCUGAGAUGGAUUUUAGAUUUUUUUUUUGUGCAACUACACAUUGGGGAUUAGUGGAAGCCUACAUUCUAGAUUGAUGAGAUGCAGCAUAAAUUGUUAGUUAUGCAUGCCCUUUAGGUUGUUCAAAGCACCGAAUACCUUUAUGUGAGUGAUGAACCAAGCCCUUCAUAUUUUCUGAGAAUGUUUGCAUUUAUAACAUGUGCAAAACUAUCACUUGCCGGUUACGGGAAGUGCCAGAAAAUUAGAGGGAGGAUGGAUUUUCUUUAGGCAAAGUAAGUUUACCUUUACGGCCAACUAAAAGUUUUUGGAAUGAGCUGCCUGGUUCAGACAGUACCGAGCUGACCUAGUGCGAAACUGGAUCAGUUCGGCUAUUAUAUUCGGUUUUGCCCGGAACCGCUAUUGGAUUGGCAGGAACUAGCCAGAACCGGCUAGUUCGGUACCGACUCGGUGCGAACCAGCUAGUUCGCAUCGAGUCAACCCGGUUCGAACCAGAUUGGGUAUGAUAUUAUUGCCACUGCCGCCUAGUGUUGAGAAGACUCGAGAGGCCUUCCCAAUGCUAUUUGAAAACGGCUCUGCCGCUUCUUCUUUCCAAAAGAUUUAUAAAUAACAUCAAUUUAGACCAUCAAAAGGAGGAUCAAAGGCUAAAUAAGGUAUGCCUUUUCUCUCCUAUCUCAUUUCCUUUUUUUUGGAGCUUGAAAAAAUAACUCAAAAAUUGCAAAAUGAAAGAAGAUCAUGCCAAAAUUUUUAAUUUGGACUUGAUUUUUUUCAUAUGUUGUAGAUCUAUGAACGAUAUACAUCACUGGCAUAAAAAGUUUUAAUAUUUGUAUUAUAUAUAAUUUUUAGAAAUUAAAAAUAUAUUUUUAGAGUAAAAAUAAUUUUUUAAAUAAAUAAAAAUUAAUAAAAGGUAAAAUCAAAAACAAAUUUAGAGGCAUGCAAGCUACUUUAUAUAAAAAUUUGGUAUCCAUUCAUUCAAAUUUUAAUGCGAUCAUGCGUACAGUGGCUUAAGCCUAAAUUUUAAAAAAAUAUAAAAUAAGCAGUCUUUGAUGCAUAUCCGAGAGCCUAAAAAAAUAUAUGUAGUAUUUAUUAUUGAAUUCUACAGUAUCUGAGCUAAAAUUAAUUUUUUAAGAUAUUAAUGUUUAAAAAAUAUUUUUAAAUAAAAAUAACUUAAAAUAUAUAAAUAAUACCAAAAAUUAUGAAAAAUUACUAGUACAUACUACAUAAUUCAGAAGUAAUAUUUGAGGUGGAAAUCAUAUUUUUUAAAUUUAUGAUAUUUAAACAUAUUUUUAAAUAUAAAAAUUAUUAAAAAUAUAUAAAUAAAUAUAAGAAUAAGAAAAAUUAGGGUUAUGCAUUAGAUAAGUUUGAUGCAUUUUUAAGGUAAAAAAAAUUAUCUUCAUCGUAAAUUAAUUUUGCUAUUUUUAAAUAAUUAAUAAAUUGACGUACUUGAUAAAUCUGAAGGAAUAGAACCAUUAAGAAAAAGACCUAGAGCGUGAUCUUGGCUAAGAUCAUGGACAAAUGUUCUCAAGCUGACACUAUUGAAAGUGCAACUAGUGUAACACAGAGUUCAAGGAAGAAGAGGUAACCAAGUUGAAGCAACACUUAAUUGGUGGUCGCCUCGACGUAUUUAUAUAUUGAAAAUGCCCAUAAGAGGUUCGAUAACUAGUGAAGAAGCACUUCGUUGAUUUUAGAGCAACGAAGAAAAGGGUUGCCAAGAAGAAGAUGGAUGUGGACUGUCGCAUGGCAGAGCCAGACUACUAUGUAGGCGAGCCUGGAUGAUCAGUGGCCGCAGGAUGAGGUAGCCAUGCAUAGGACUCGAUUUGGGCCCUUGUACUAUAAGUCGGGCUCUAGUUUUACGAGCAGUGGGUCAGAUCCAGAGUUCAAGAGGACCACCUCAGUCAAGAAGGCCACUAGCAAAGGCGGUGGCCGGACUACGUCUAUGCUGGAGGCUUUUGGUAGCAGAAAAAAAUCAUUCAGAGAGAUUCUUCGAGUAGCAGCAAUUCAUGAUUUAAAUCCACAUGCUUUCUCUAGUAGAGAUUUAAAGUAGAGGGUUGACUCAAUGCUGAAGAAGGAUAAGAAGAAAGAUAUGUGGUGAGCUAUUGGAUCCUGUUUCUACUUCAACCACAUCCCAAUGAAUGUAGCAGACAAUACAUACGAGAUGUCUGCCAUUUUUGCCAAACAGGAUGUCGGUUCCGGUGUAGAUCCUUCAGGUUCGAAGGACAUCUACGGUGAGCUUCUUAACAGUAAUAAGGAGAGUUAAAGAAAUGGAUUGCUUCCUACAAGAGCAAGUUGCCCACAUAUGGACCGACUGUGAUGUGUGAUGGUUGGACCGAUCCUACUAGGCAGAGCAUCAUCAUCUAUCUGGCAUACUGUAAUAUGAGACUUUCUUCCACAAAUUGGUUAAUGCUUCUGAUCAGGUGCACGAUGCUUCAUACGUCUUCAAACUAAUGGAGGAGGUGAUUGAUAAGAUAGGAGAGGAGAAUGUCGUGCAUGUAAUUACUGAUAAUGAGUCACAAUAUAAGGCCAUAGGGGAGAUCUUGAUGGAGUGGUAGCCACGUAUUUUCUGAACCCCAUGUGCUGCACAUUGUAUCGACCUCAUGUUGAUGGAUAUUGCGAAGAUUCGUAGGGUGCAAUAGAAAGUGGAGACAACCCAAACCAUCACCAUGUAUAUUUAUAACUAUGCAUGGGUCCUUUUACUGAUGAGGAGGUAUACAAGGGGAGAAAUCUUGAAACUAAAAGUCAUAUAGUUUACUACCAACUACGUUGCACUUAAUAGCCUUUUUGAGAAGAAAGCAACCCCACGUCAAAUGUUUGUCGGUCCCGAGUGGUAGAAAAGUAGAUAUACAAGAGUCGGCACUGAAGAGAGUAGUAUCAAGGACUUGGUGACGAGAUAGACAUUCUGGUAGCGGGCCACUGUGAUAGUGAAGGCUAUCAGACCAUUGUAUGAAGUUCUUUGGGCUGUGGACAAUGAGAGGUACUCCUAGAUGGUCUUCCUAUAUCACAUGAUGGAGAGGGCAAAGAUCCAGAUCAUCAAGGUAGAUCCGACGCAUGCCCAGGAGUACAUCGACAUUAUUGAGAGGCGGUGGAGCUACCAAAUAGAUGGAAACUUAUAUCUAGCAGGUAAGUAAGAAUAUUAAAAAUUAGAUAGCUCUUGUACUUAUUUAAUUUUAUUAAGACAAUAACGAACUCUAUAGCAUACUAUUUGAACCCUCGGUUUCAGUAUAUUGUAUCUAGAAUCGAUAUGGAUGACGAACUUUCGGCCACUCUCCAUAAUGUAAUUUACAAGAUGGAGCCAGAUCUAGAAGUCAUGGCCCUAUGUCUAGAAGAGGUAAGUUAACUUAAGUGACAUGUGUAAGUUAACUGGUAUCUUCUAUUAUUAACAUAGCACAACAUAAUUUUUUUUCAUAAACUAAAAUAUUUAGAGAGGGUAGCGAUAGUUUUGGAGUAUCGGCAGUUGUCAUCAGUAAGAAAAGUAUGAAUCUAGAUAUAUUACAUAUUAGAAGGAUAUUUACCUGACAUUAGAUGGUUAUUAAUAUGGUACUAUUUUAUAUGUAAUUUUUUUUAAUAUUUUUGCAGUUGAAUGGUGGAUUCAUUUUGAGUUAUCCUCAAAAUAUCUUAAACGGCUAGCUAUCUGAAUCCUCUCUCAUAUGAUCUCCUCGAGUGGCUAUGAGCACAAUUGGUCCACCUUUGCCCUCAUCCACAGCAAGCAGAGGAAUCAUUUAACACAGAAGUACCUCAAAGACUAUGUAUAUGUUCAUUACAAUCUGAGGUUGAGGCUAAAGUGCAUUCAGAAAAAAGUGGAGCUCGAGUAUACAAAUCCGAUUUAUAGUACUUUCGUUGAUGAUGAGGAUGAUCCUAUGAUUGGAUGACUUGUGGGUCAGCAGCAAGAUCCGAAGCUUGAGGAACGAGGAUCGCCUCCACGAUCGACCAGUUUCGUAGCCAGCGAGGCUAUGGUUGAUGCAGGUUAAUGGGCUGAGCAUAAUAUUUUAUGCCUUCAUCUAGCUGAUUAGCCACAACUAGAGAGGAGCCAGCACCAUAUGACUCCUUGUCCGAAACAUCCUCUCAAAGAUAUGAUGGAGAGAUGCUUAGACAAGGCCACUAUACUAUCCGGUCGACUCGGUCAGGAGGACGAUAUACAUCCUCCCAGUAUAGCUAGGCAGAGAGGUGCAUGAAGGGUAAGAAGGCAGCUGCCCAGCACACCAAAAAAGAAAAACAAAAGGCACUUCGAGCCCCAAUGGAGAGUAUGGAGGUGAAGUCGGUACACUCAUAUUUAGAGACCAGGAGCAAUAGCGAUAAGAAUUUUGGUGGUCAUGGAUUUGCUGGCUAGAGAGAGAGUGGAGGACAGGUAGCUGGUGUUUAUGAGACAACUCCAGGGUGGUUUUUGAUUUACUGAUGAGUUGCAAUUUAUGCAUACUACAUAAGAUAGAGACCACGAUGCAUAAUUUGAUAGAACCCGCGAGGAUAGAAUUAUAUAUAGGAGACAGGCUCCUAAAGAUCAUUUAGGAGGACACGAUGCAAUUGUAGAUGACCUCGCACGUGGAGUAGGAUCCAUAGAUGUAUUAGGUUUCGAGCCAUAUACUGGAUCCUAUUACCCGCAAGCACAUGCAGUCUAUGACCCAUACGGAUAUGGAUAUGGAUAUGGAUAUAGUGCGUCUGAGACAUCUUUUGGUGGCUACUACUCUACAAGUCUGGAUUAUCUUACGGGUCAGACUUUGCUAUCGGCAUAUUUAGAUGGGUCUCUCUACAACAUUAUUAUCAGCCAAAGGACACCUCCAAGAGCUAAAGCUUCAGCGAGAGAUCUGAGAGUGCUUAUAACUCGACAUAAAUUUCUUAUGGGAUGAACGUACAAAACUAUAAUGCCGCUUGGUUAUAGGGGUGGGUUGAUGUGCCUUCUGACUAUGCUGAUAAUCCGAAUAUCUAUGAGAGGCAUCACCACUCAACCUGAUUUUAGAUAUCGGUAUAUAUGUUGGACUUUAAAAGUAUGUAAUUGAUUGUAUUAUUUUUUAAUUUUUACGUCAUUACUUGAUUUGAGGAUAUUUUAUAUUGUUCAUUUUAUGAUUUGUAUCAUUUUAAAAUAAUAACAUGAAUUACUUAGGUUAAACCGAAAUUAUAGAAACAUCAAAAAAUAUCAAAAAAAUAUAAAAAAAAUAUCAAAUUAGACUUAAAUUUAUAAAAAAAAGUCGAAAAGAGCGAUUACCAAUUAAUUUUUUUUGAGAACUCCAAAAAAAAAGGUGUGUUAGUCCAUAAACUGGCAUGCCUAACUGGUUCAGUAUGGUACAGACCGGUACGGAUCCAGGUACAGAUUCAACAAACCUUAAUAUAGAUUGAUAUAGUCAACAAUGAAGCCAUCCAUGAUGCAAUCAGAAUCUUUUACUUAUUUGCAAAAAAUUCACAAUGUUAAUUCAUUAGGUUGGAGAUUUAUUGUAAAUGUAAAUUCUUAAAAAGUUUUGAAAAAUCAAGUUCAAACUUGUAUUAACCACACUAGGGAGUACACAGCUCCACAUAAUUUGAAAUUAACAUUACGUACACUAAAAACAUAUAUAUGUUAAAAUUAACAAUUGAAAUAUAUUCCGGUUAAUGGAAAUCUUUAAAGUAGUGAAUGGUACCAAAGACUAAGGUUCAAGAUUAAAAAGCCUAGCAUUAGUAUUAAAACAUAAUAUGGUACAAUUUAAGAACUGACUCCUGCUGGACAUCAUCUUUGAGAGGUCCAAAUAUUUUAAUCCAAGGUUCAUACUGGUGUGUACCACCCUAUACUAACCAGACCAUAUGAGGUUUGAAUCGAGACUCAGUAUGAGGGGUGUAGCCAUAGAAACCGUGAUACUUAUCAAAGUGGGAUUGAACUUUGAACAAUUAAGCAAUAUUCAUAGAACUGGGAUUAAAGAUGGGGUCAAGGAAUGUCAAAUUAACCUAAACCAUCUGGUUCUAGGUACACCGACCCAAACUAGUGCAGUACAAGAUCGAAAUGACUCUUUGGGUUGGUAAGAGGCCCGAACAAGCUCGAACUAAGUGGAACUACUUGGUUCUGCUCGGAUUAGAGCCUUUUGGGUUGGUUUGGCUCUUUAUUGACCUUAAUAAUAGAGAAAAGUCAUCUUAUGAAAACUUCUACUCUCUCUUGUUGAAAUCGGUACUGGGCUUUGUGAGGAAAAUUCGGGAAAGAGGGUUCUUUUGUCGAUUUUGAGCUUGAAUCCAAGCCAAAUCCGGUAUAAUCCCCUCUUUUCUUUUCAUUCUUCUCCUUUUUUUUUCAUUUUUAUGUUUAAAAUAGAUCAAAAAUUGGUAAAAUCAGGGAUAUACAUGCCGAAAUUUUGUAAAAAUUUUGGGUUCUACAUCAAUCUGAAUUAAAAUUAAUUUUUUAGGUAUAUUGUUACUUGGAGUUCAUAUAUAAGACAUGAUCCAUAGUUUGGGAUUAAACACGGUACAAAAUUAUACUAGAAAUAGAACUGGAUAAUAAGGAAACAAGAUAUAAUUAUUCGAUAUAGAAAUCCGGCUAAAAUUUGAUUCUGUCUCCAAUAUAACAUUUAUCAAAAACUUUGGUGAAAACUUUGGAAUCCCAUGAUAGAGAUUCUGAUUGUAAAUGAGGAACACAAAUUUCCCGCACAUCUGCUGGUUUCAUUAAAGCAAGAAAUCGGAUAGCUGCAAUUAGAGAGAAAUACAGCGAGGUGCAAUUAUAAGCCUAGAAGCAAGACAAUAACAAGAUUUUGGGAUGUAAUGUCCACGUAUGAUUUCAUGCUACAGAACAUGAGUUAUAUAAGAACAACAAAUGUUCAAGAUAAAAACCAUCUCAAUGAAACAAAGAGGUCCUAUAGCAUGUCAUUAUCUGUCUGUUUCUACAAUACGAUGCAUAGGUGCAUCCAGAUAAUUCUUAGCAUAACUAAUGCCAAUUUUAUCUCAAGAAAUAUCGAACAUUCCCUUUUCCAAUUGAAUCCUUUCAUUUGAGAUAUCAAAUAAUACUAUAUAACAAGGUUAUGGCAACAACUUUAAAUCAUUUAUGGGAGACAUGAAAUAAUUAUAGAUCGAAUUAGAAUAAUGAACUGUAAGCUAACAAAAUAUUGACAGUUAAAAGGAAGAUGAUUUUAAUAAGCUGGUCCUCACCAUUUGAAAAAUAGCAAAUAAUCUUAAUACUAAGAAAAAAGGUAGCCUGGAUUUUCAUUUAUAUGUGCACAAAAAUUUGAUACAUGACAAUAAAAUAAUCCUCCAUAAUUGUAAUCUUGAAGGUAAAAUUGAAUGACAAUUUUUUCCAUUUGAUAGUUUAGUUUGAGAUGAGCAUGAAUAUCAUAAUUUAAACAUCCAUAAACCAUAAGAUAAUCUUCAAAAAUAAAUAAUUAAAAAAAAAACAAAAAUACUGUUUCAGUAUUGAACUGGUACACACUUGCGUAUCAGAUGUUGGUAUGGUACGGUUCAGUACCAUACCAUACUAGUACCUAAAUAGCAUAGUAUUCAGUACCAAAACUGCGGACAUUGAACUGUUCCUCCUGCAGAAAAAAAUGAAAAAAUUGGAAAAUUCUAAUCCAUUCCCAUCUUAGAGCAAGUCAUGGUCAUGAUAUUAUGUUAUUAUAGAAGUGAAUAAGCUUUCUUUCUGAGAGGAUUUUAACAUUGUAGGUAUGAAAUGAAAUGCAAAAGUAAGACAUGAAUGAGUAUUUUAUCUUUCCGUAUUUAAAUUAGUUAUCUAUUACUCUAUUAAAACUUGCAAAUAAUGAUGUAUGAGGAACUCUAAAAUGGUGGGUUUGCAACUUACUUUGCAACUCAUGUUUUGUAUGACAGUUUUACUAUCCUUUACUUUGCAAAGGAAGGGCUAAAUGGUAGUUUCUCCCUUUUUUAUCCUGACUUGUGCAUGGAUGUAUGCAUACCUUUUCAAAAAGGAGGGAGUCAGAAAUUUCACCAGCCUUCAGGAACCGGUAUCGAUCUGGGUUUCUUUGAGUUAGAUGAACUUUCAAAGCCAUUAGAUGGAUGUUUCUUCCCACUGGUUGUCUAUGCUGAACCUUUCCCACUGCAUCUUCCCAAAAAUGAACUUGCAUGUCGGUCUACAGCUGCUGCCCAUGCUCAGAUUACUGAAGCAGUCAUAGAGAAGAAUAAUGAUGGAUCCUUCCAAGUAAAAGUUCUAAAACAAAUAUUGUGGGUCGACGGUAAACACUACGAACUGAAAGAAAUUUUUGAUGUUGGGAUUUCAGCAGAAGCAGGAUUUGAUGGUGAUGAUUCUGAAAAGGAAUGUGUUAUUUGUAUGUCUGAAUCAAGGGAUACUGCUGUUCUUCCUUGUCUGCACAUGGUGAGAAUUCAAUCAACUACAAGAUGUUAUUAUCUGUUUUAUUUUUUUACUUUUAAGUCAUUAACGAGACUGGGGAAUAUUGUAGCACUUGUUUUCUCUCUCAUGGAUAUGAUAGAACCUCAAGUCUGAUAACUUGGUUUCAUAUUCCAGUGUAUGUGUGGUGAAUGUGCAAAAGUGUUAAGGCUUCACUCAAAUAAAUGCCCUAUAUGUCGCCAACCUAUGGAAACAAUAAUGGAGAUACCAAAAAAAGACAAGGAGGAAGAAAUGCAGAAUGUUCUGAAGCAUAAAUGGUUGCGUUAACCUAUCGAUUUUUUGAGCAGCUAACGUCGUAGCUCCUGCAGUUUCCAUGUUCCUCUUAGCACGUCCUGGAACUGUACGUACAUUGUCAUAUUGGCCUGGUGUCUCUAAUCUCUACAUGUUUACAUUCGCAUUUGUAUGAGCACGUUAUGUAAAAAUGUCCAUAUUUUACUUUUUUAUUCUAUAUUUAUAGUUCCAUUGUAUUUCAGGAUUUUGAGUUUCAGUUAGAAGAGUUUAUAUAUGCAACUUAUGAACAGAAAUAUUUUUGUAUGAAUCUGUAUAGUAUUUGCAUGCGUUCAGAUUUUCAUGUGAAUAUAUUUCAAAUAAUUUUAAAUUUUUUCUUCUUCCCUUAACUUUAAUUGUUUCAUGUGACCCUGAUCAUUGCAAAUAAAAACAAACCUCUGGAGUUUUGCUACGUGCAUGUAAAUAUGUCUGCAAGUUAUAUUCUGGUUGGGAGGGAUAUGAUGUCCGGACAUGCACUACAUUCUUGGCUUACCUAGCUUGAUAAGGCAUGAACAUAACCUACUCUGAUAUCUGAUAUGCAGCCUCAACUUUUUUUGCUCUGUUAUAAUACAUAUCUUUUUCUAUUUCAACUGUAUAAUGAAUAUGUAAUCCUUCUAGAUUGCUAAUGCAUGGCAUCUACAUUAGGGAGAUUAUAUGGACUUAGUUUAUAAGAUUUCUGAAGAAAAGGUUAUCAGGUUCCACUGGAGAAACAAGCCAAAAAAGACAAAGAAAAGAAAUAAAAAAGAUAUUCAGUUAUUAAAAGGAAAAACCCAUACUCUAUAUUUAUAAAUCAAAACUCACAAACAUCACAAUUAAUUAUUUAUCACUGAAAGAUUAAUAUUCAUAAAAAGGGAAAGAAAUAAAAAAAAAAAUCUUCCCCUUCUUUUUUGAGGUAUACAUGAAAUACUUUGAGUCUAUUCGGGAAGUAUGUGCGAUGCAAGUCAGAAAUAUACGACCUUAUGGCUAUUUGACUCUAAACCAUCUUACAUCAAGUUUCAAGAUUGAAUGCCCCAAAGGUGUGUAAACAUAGACAAACAUCAUCAGAACUAAAGAGACACUCAUAGAUGUAUAAGAGACUGAGUUGAAGCAAGCCUGUGGACCAAUCCUGCAUCCAUCACUCCCACAAGUCCUCAAGUUAUCUUUAGAUCUCUAAUGAAGAAAAUAUAUGAGAUGAUACUUGGCUCACAAGGGUCGAAUGAGGUUAAGUUUUGCAAAUAAGCCAAUAAUAGAUCAAGUUGCACUCCAACAAACAUCAAUUUUAAUUAAGACAUUACCACAAUCACUCCAAGUGGAAUUUUGAGAUCAUCUUACAUUGAAGAUGUCUGAGAUCGAGUUAACUUUCCAACACAUUUUGAAUCACCUCAAUAGGAUCUCAGAUGAGAAAGUUAUGGCUAUUUUAUUGAAAACUUAUCGUGUUGAUGCACUGCUGAUGAAGUUUAACUUAAUUUGAAUCUUGUCGAGUCGAUGACAAUUUUUCUAGACUUUUAGUCACUUUUUCUUGUUCUCUUCUAGAAGCACUUGUUCACUAGUUUAUAAGUACUACAAACUCUAGAAAACUAAUAUUUAUUAUUUUUUUUAUUUUUCCAUUUAGGAAAACUACGUCGUAUAGAAAUCGAACUUCUAUGAGUUUUAAUUAGGAGCCUAUCGUUAUAAAUACUCCAACUCCUUGAUCAUUAAAAAAUUUAUAAAGCUUGUCUUUUAUUGGGUGCACGUUGGUAUUCUUUCUGCAUAGUAAAUUCCAUGCAAUCCUAGUGGAUUAUGUAGACUGAUGACGUGGCUAGUUGGUGGAGUUCUUAGAGAUAAGAACCUACUACUUAUCCCUUCCUCUAGUUUCUUUCGUAGCAUUUAGAUCCUUAGCUUUAAUUUUUUACUUCUCUUAUAUAUCUGGUUCUAGUCUUCCACAAGGUAACUUUGGAGAUUACCGCCCUAUGCUCCCAAUUACGUCAAUUUAGGAGACUUUUUUAAUCUUGAAAACAAGAUAUUUAGCUUAAAUCUUGCACAUGUAUCUCAGCAGUAUCCAACAAAAUUGAUAUCCGAUACAUGUCUGAUGUGUACAGGGCAUAAGGUUUGAAAUAUUCGUUUUUCCUAGAUCUUGAAAAAUAGUAAAAAAACAUUAAAAACUGAGAUUAAAGAUGUUCAAGAGUAUGAAGCAAUGUAGGCACACAUUGUAUCCCAUUCUUUUUGCGUAUAUACUCCACGAGUCUCUUACAUCUUCAUCAGCAAAAGAAUGCUUGUAUUCAUAUUGCCAUGUUAUAUAGAAUAAUUUUACUAGUUAUCUCUGUGCUUGAAGAGCAUGAUCAUAUCUUGUAGCGUGUCUAUGGUUCUACAAAACCAUACUUUAUUUUGAUUAGAUAUUAAAGAUGCAUGGUUGUCAUCUUUCAAAAAGCCUUGUACAACUUAUCUCAUCUUUGACCAUCAUAGAUACAGUUCCUAUACCUAUUUAACCUUCUUAGGUUGUUAUUCUCACUAUUACUCGCUUCUCCACUCAUUUUUGUCAAGCAUCGACAUAAGCAUCUUCCUGCUUAUCUUACUAAUUUCAAACAGACUUUUCCAAGUAGAGAACUGAUAAUUUGUGCAUUUCUUGUAGACUUUUCUAGCUGCAUCAUCUAAGUGAAGUAUAUAUCAAACCUUUCUAUGAUUAAUAUGCAAGCCUGUUUUCUCUUCAACUUAGAUCGGAACAUCUUAUUUUGGACCCGUGACUGUUGAUAUAAUGUAAGGGUGACUGUAAGUUAGAGAUAAAUUAAGUUGAAAAAUUAUCCAUUUCAAAGACUAGAUUAAGUUUGCAUUAUAUGUUUUCCGACCUGACCUAUUCCAAACUAAUUUCCAUGUUAAUGUAGUCUCAAAUGAGUGACUUGGCUAGCAUUAGUGCAUUCUAACUUAAAACCUCUUGAUGCUAGAAUUGCUUAUCCGUGUAUCAAUUGUCUUCUUGCCAUCUUUGGAUUUGUAGAUGGAGUAUUGAGACUAAUUUUUAUAGAAUAAACAUGCAAUUAUAGUUGAGCCAUAUUUGUGCCAAUGGUAUUAGUGGCAGCAUUUUCUGCACUUCUUAUACAUGUUAUAUUAUUUUCAUCAAAUGAACAGUGCAACUUUUUUUUUCAUAUUGCAUUAGACCUAAACUUGUGUUGGAUCGAAUAUAGACUCCAAUCUAGCAACGAAUUGGACUUGUUCCUUGUCAUAUUUCAUAAUUAGUAUAAUCUUUUGAUCCUACCCAAUUAGCAACUAUUGGGGUUCUCUUUGGUUUAUGUUCUGAAUUGAAGGGCUUUGUUCGAUCACUAGGACUUAUCUCUAAAUUCAUCAUAAAAGCAUGAUUAAAUAAGGUGAAUAAUAAUAGCAUGAACAUAUGCUUGUCAUCUCUUGCCAUGUCCAAUCAUCAACAAUUUGUAACAGCUAGCAUGGAUGGUGGAUUUUUGAACUAGAUACAAACUCAAAAAGCUAGGUUUUCAUAUAUAGAUAAUUUUAUUUUCUAUAUAAGAUAAUAUAAUCCAACAUGCCUACCGUAUGACAAGUUUUUAUAUAAUGUCCUUCAUUUGUUAUAAUGAAGUCUUAAACCUCCGCUUUUCUUACCAACAGAAUCUUUCUUUAGCAUAAAAAAUACAUUGAUAAAGCCAGUAAACACUAUGAAUGCAAGAAUAAUAUCCUAAAUUUUAAAAGAUUCUCAACAUAAUAAAAUGUUAUAUGCUUGUAUGCUCCGGUGAUGAUAUUGACAUAAAAUCGUAUUAAUGACACAAUAUAUAGAACUUGAAGAUGUCUGAGAGGCAACAAACGUAACUCCUUAUUUCUUUUCAAAAAUGUCCUAAUAUCUUUAAGAUUUUCCAAAGAAAAUAAUUAGAAUCCAAAAGAGUAGGGCCGCUCUUUAACAGCAUCUAAUUAACUUUUUCUUCAUUAUAAAUGCAUAUUUUUUAAAAAGAUCAACAUAUUACUAUAACAUUUUACUAUUUAGAUUAAAAAGUUAAAAUCUCUCAAAAUUUUGCAUUGUAAAAUGAAGGGGAAGGAAAGAAAAGAAGUCGGGAGAAGUUUCUGGAGAAGAAGAGAAGAAAAGAAAAAGGAAAGGAAAGAAAGAAAAAAAGAAAAGAAAGGAAANNNNNNNNNNNNNNNNNNNNGAAAAAAAAUGAUAAAGAGAGGGGGUGUUUACGGGUAUGAACCCGAACUCAGGGUGCUAGGCACUUCUGUAGGAUCAGCCAUGGGAGAAUAUUAAAAUUUAAGUUUUUGUAUACAUAUAUUGUGAUGGAUUUUAAAAGAAGAAUAUGAUUUUUGGAUAUUAGGUUCUGCGAGAGAUUUACGGAAUUAAUUGGAUUUAUUGUGGAUCGCGUUCGCAAGUAAGUGAUGUAACCUCUUUACUAGAUUUAUCGACAAACUAAAUAUCUAUUUUACAAAUCGAAUUAUUUGUGAUUACGAAUUUGAUGCAUGGAUUAUAUGUAUAUUUUUAGAAUAUUGUAUGACUCUGAUUGAACAUAUUUGCUUCUGGUUUGAAUUGUAUUUAAUUGCUCUUACAUUGUAUUUUUCGGCUUGAAACACUCAACAUAAUGUAAGAAAAGAUAAUGACUUAAAAUAGAUUCAGACUUGCAGUCGAGCUAUGUUGAGGACCCUGCCAAUAGAGGCUAAUACAUUGGUACUGCAAGAAGAAUAGUCGGUGAUAUGACCCUGCCACAGGGAACAUGUGGUCAUAAUUUCUGGCUGUUGAGUUGAAUCUGAUAAAUUAAAAGAAAUUGAGAUAUGAACGACAUUUGGUUUUGACACUGUAUAUUGUUUUUAUAUAACUGAAAUAUGAAAUAGAGAACAAACUGAACUUCGACCUGGCUAUGUUGAGGACCCUGCCAAUGGGGGCAGAUACGUUGGCAAUUGACUGUCCUGAAGGACUCACCGCAAAAAGAUUAGUCAGUGUUGAUGACCCUGCCACAGGGAACAUGUGGUCACAGUCCAGGAUCGACAAGAUGAAUUGAAUAUGUAAAAGAAUCUUGAAACCGCGAAAAGAAUCUUAUGAAUUCAAGAAAUAUUUGACCUAUACUUUGGAACUGCAUAUUUAUUUAUUUUCCAUAUAUUAUUGCUUGAUUUAUCUAGCUAGAGUGUUCAUUACUUACUGGGCUGUCUAGCUCAUUAUACCAUCUCUUGUUGUUUUACAGAUUUCGAGAAAUAGUCUAUUGGGGAUUCAAAUUGGGAGAGCGACUAGAAGGAUUGUGGCACAAGUUAUCUUAGAUUAGGGUUAUUUAAGUUGAUUUGUUAUUAUAGACAUUUAUUAUGAUUGGUGGACUUUUGUUAUUUUAAGAACUAGAUUUCUGUAUAUUGGUAAAUGAUUAUUCCGCUGCGUAUUUAGACUUGUGAGACCUUAUGACUUGAGUUAGUCAAUGGAAUAAGAUUGCAUUUAUUCAGUUAAAUUAUUUUAGAAUUACAUAAUUGAGGUGUUUGGUUUAGAUGCCUUGCAUGCUCGUGGGGAGAGUUUGGCUUGCGAUCUCGGGCCGGGGGCGUGACAGAAGUUAUGGAAGUCAAACUUAUCAUGAUCAAAUCUGCGAUCUAAUUUUUAGCAUAUAAAUAAGUAUCCUAUAUUCAACUAAGAUGCACCAAUUUACAGGUGUUCUAAGAAUUAAUUAAUCAUAAAUAAUGGACAUUUUUGGUGGAUUAAAGAAGCAUCAUCAAAGCAUUAUAUGUAUUCAGAUUAUACAAUGUCUAGUGCAGCCUAUGCUUGCAUGCAUUUUAUGCAUUUUCUUUUUAUUAAAUCUAUGUUUCUUCCAUGAUCAUGUAAGUUCUUUCUUCAUUUUCAUUUAAAUAAUACUAUGUUGGCAAGUUAAUCAAGGAAAUAGUAAUAUUAGGAGGAUAAUGGACUUGAGGAUAAUCAACCCAUUUUUAUUAUUUCAUACUAAUAACAACAAAGCAAGUAUAAUGCACAUUUAAGUUAGAAAUUUUUUUAAAAAAGUUAAUUAUAUAAAUUUUAGAAAAUUGUUGUUAUUUGCAUGAAAAUGAUAUGUUUGAAUGGAUUGUUUUAAAAGAGGGACUUCAAAAGUUAUGUAUGGAGAUGAAAAAUUAUAAGCUAUCAAUCUAAAAUUUGAAAUUUAAAUAUUUAUCAUUCUAGAAUUGUCUAAUUGGUUUGUGAAUUAAAAUAAGAAAUGAAGAUAGAGGAAAAGGAGCUAAUAUGCUACACUAUUUAUUUUCUGAGAAAAGUAAGGUAUUUGUUAAUUGGCUGGAUAUCCAUCUAUGAUACGAUAGUAGCUCUGAAAGAAAAUAAAUGCAUUAUUAUUGGAAAAGUUGAUAGACGAGAUUCAAAUGGAAUCCUAGAAUCCUAUGUUUGUUAUUCUAUUCUUCUUUCAUUCUUCAUGGUUUAUUUUUUGGAAAUUUUUUUCAUCUAUAUUCAACCACCUACUAUCCCCAACAGAUUUCCAAGAAAGGCUUUGAUGUAAACGAAAGCACAAGUCUUGAAAUUUUGCAUCUCCUUAGUCCUUAACUUGAAGCUUGCUAGCACCAAGAUAAAGAUAUUGUUAAUCUUUCGAGGACGGACUUGAGUUGUUAAUUGUAAUAACCUUGUCUUUCUUUAUGAUCACCUUAACUAGAACAUUUUAAGUUCUCAUCUCCAACGAGUAUCGUGCACAGUCUACCUUCUGUCUUGUUUUUGACAUCCAUAUAUACUUUAGUAGCAAGUUAAAAAAAAAGCCAAUUUUGAUCAUUUUCUCUUAUCUAAUGAGAGGUAGAGUUGCUAGUGAUCAGUAUGUGACUAAUUUUAGGCCAAAUGCAAGUUAGAAAUGAGCAAAAUGGUGGGAUGAGCCCACCCACAUUUCUUUGAUUAAUAAAAUGAAGGUGAAAUACAAAUCAGAAGAUAUUAAGAGGCACAAUAGCUUGAAUUUUGAAGAAUGCAACCAGGGGUUUUGUAGAUAAUUGAAGGCCAAUUAUCACUUAAUAUAAGCUCCUAGACUGAAUUAUGAAUGCUCGGUUGUCAAUUCUUGUAACUACGUAUUUGUAAUCAAUUCAAACUUCAACUUUAGUACUUAGAAUGCUUAGGGAGACCAGUGUUCUAGCGAUCAAUGCUCACCCUUAUUUUGUUUGUUGGUUUUCUAGCCAUCAUCAAUUGGGAAAUGGUAUGUGGUGCCCGUCACAUGCACACAAAAGGUGACUUGUGCUCAAUUUUGCUUGCUUGGCAACUUCAUAUUCACUAUUUCCAUGUAUUACACUGAACCCUAGAUUUAUACCAAUACUUUUACGCCGACUGGCAGAAAAACUUAAUUGUGCACAAAUAGGAUCCCUGUGGUAAUACUCUCUUAAAUUAUAUGAUCAACUUUUUUAGUUUUAAGGUUGAUUAAUAUCAUUAAACAAAUCCUUAUUUUUUUUCUUCCUACUUUCAUUAUAACAUUUUAAAUUCGCAUCUCAAACAAGCAUGACAAUUCCUUAGCAAAAAAAAAAAAAAACAAGCACGACAAAGAGAGAGAGAGAGAGAGAGAGAGAGAGAGAGAGNNNNNNNNNNNNNNNNNNNNGAAGAGAGAGAGAGAGAGAGAGAGAGAGAGAAUCUACAUGUCAUGGUUUAAAAUAUGGAAAUAAUUUUUUCCAUAUGUAAAGAUAAAGCUGCAUAUAUUUGACCUUCUUUAGACCUUAUAGUGGUAAGAGACUCGUGCAUUAGGUUGCCCUUUCAAGAGUAGACCUUCUUAUAAUAAUAAAAUUGCUCCAUUAUAAUCUAAAUAAGGCGGGUUCAAAACAUAGAAACAAUAUCUCCACAUGUGAGGCAAUGUUGCAUAUAUCUAAUCUUCCUUAAAUCUUGUAGUUGUGGGAGCCUCAUGUAUUGCUCUAUCCCUUUUUACUUGUAACAUAGUUGUUUAACCAUUAUAAUAUGCUUUUAUUCCAUUAAUAAUAUAAAAAUAAAUAACAAUUAUUAUUUUGAUUUUGACAAAUAUCAUAACAAAUGUAACUGAUUUUUUUUUAAUGUUCUUGAUGAAAAUAAAAACUACAUUCAUAUAUAAUCUAUUUUUGACCAAUCCUUGUGGCGUAGAUGUGAUCAACUUAAACCUAAUCUAACUGACUAUAAACUGGACACUAAAGGCCAUGCAUAUCGAGUUUGGUUUGGGUUUGCACACUAAUAUAGUAGGCUAAAUCCAACUUGUCAAAGUUCCACCUUCUUUUAGGACUCCUUUGUUUUGCAGGAAGAAGAAGAAAAAGUAUGGUCAACGAAAAAAUAAAGAAAUACCUCAUAUUUUAUUGAAUUUUUAAAAGAGAAAGAUGGAAAUGUGGCUUUUCUAUGAGAAUAAGAUUUUUUUAUUAAAUGAGAAAACAAAAUUCAUAUGGAACAUGAGAAAGUUACUUUCUCACGGGUUAAAAAUUAAUGUAUUUUUUUUUUUCAAAAGUACCAUUAAGCUUUUAGAUGGAAUGGAUAAAAUCUUUCAUUGAAAAUUAGUGUAAUUUUCUUUUCAAAAGUACCUUAAGAUUUUAGAUAAAAUGGAUAAUUUUUUCUCUAUUAAAGGUACAACAGGCAUUUUACACAACUUUUUCAAAAAAAUAAAUGCUCAACCAAAUAUAAGCCACGAUGAAAGAUACCGCAUUUUUAUGAUCAAUCAAAUAUACAAUAAUCAUCAUUUUUUCAAAAAGAAAAAAAUCUAGUAUGAAAAUUUCUUUUUAUAGACCAAAUAAAUUCUUGGUUAAAUGGGAAUGAGCACAAAAAUUGAUGGUAUGUAUUGGUUGAGGUUUAGUAGAUACCAUAAACUAUAUGGUACGUACACAGGGGCAGUGCAUUCAUUUUUAUCUUGUGAAUACUCCUUUGGCCAUCCUUCUUUCUAUUAGUUGCAAUGAAUACUUACCAAGUUGGAGGGUAGGACAAUCAAGUGUAAUUGUUGAAAGAAUUUGGGAGAGAGGCCAGCAAAAUUGGUGAACAGCCAUGUGUGUAUAUUCCCUAUUUUAUAGAUACAUGAGGUUCAGGAGGUUGCAACGUAAUACAGGAGGUUCAGGAGGUUGCAAUGUAAAAGAUCAGAAGAGAAUACAGAAGGUUCAACAUAAAAGAAACAAUUACAUCAUCCUUAUCUCUUGGCAUUAUAUCGUUAUCAUGUGCAAUUCUGUUCCUUAUCCAAAGGAAACGAUAUGAAUUGUUGUUUAAAGAUGAUGUAAGUUAAGCCCCCCCCCCCCUCUCGGAAAUCAAUGGGGAGGUCACAAACCAUAAGUUUGUCCCUCAAGAAUAGAAACCGAGAGAAAGUUAAGCCCUUCGUAAAGACAUCUGCGACUUGAUCCACAAUAGAGACAUAAUGAAUGCACACAUCUCCGUUAAUCAUCUUUUCUCGAAUAAAAUGGAAGUCAACCUCUAUAUGUUUAGUGUGAGCAUGAUAAACCGGGUUUGCAGCCAGUGCAAUUGUACCCUGAUUAUGGCACCAAACUGUAGGAGGGAAAAAAAGAGGUACACGAAGAUCCUUAAGCAAUUUCUAGAAUAUUGGCCUUUAAGAUUUUUAAAAUCUGCCAUAGGUUUCACCCUCUAUGUUGUAAUAGUUGAACACAAUUGGAUCAUUAAAAUCACUAAAUUGCCAAUAAUACAAUAGUAAACAAAGGCCAUUCCAUUCUAAGAAAAAAAAAAGACUAGGAAACUAUUCCUGUUUUGGCCAGAAGGAGACAUUCUUAAUUUAUUUCAACAGAUAAUGCUUAAUUAUCAUCACUCAGAAAAUAAAACAUCACUAUAAACUUCUUACAACUAUCACAAUAGGUCUAUGUGAUAAGAUCGAUUACAACUUUUGACUUGAUUUCAUAAUAUUAAGCAAUUCUGUAGUUAUCAUACAUAUAGACCAUCACUUUGCAACUAAAACACAUACAUUUUUUUUUCAGUAUGUAAUAUCCUGAUAGAAGCUUUGUUGGACUUCAAGAGCUAAUUCCUCCACACUAAGUUGGCAGUCAAAUCCAAUCUGCAAAUACAAUAAGUAAAAAACAAAUUACAACUUGUAAUAAGAUUUAAAACCUGCUAGAUCUCUCAGCUGAAAAAUUAAAUGUCUUUUGACCUCUUAAUUUGCUUCUAAACUUGUGUCUGGUCUAGAAAGAAGGAAUUUGUUUGCCAUUUGACGAAAUCGAAUCAUUAUCUCAAAAAUAUAUUCUAUGUAAUAGUAUUUCGUUUUGUGUAUUAGUUUUUGUAGGAAGAUAUACUGCAGUGUAGCUAAAGCGAGUCAGUUUAUGAGGCAAAAUGUGCUUUCUUUCUCCCAAGCAUAUCUUUUUUCUUCCUUGGCAACAAAAUAUGGUGGUAUUCUACACUAUAUGUGUAUAUACGUAUGUUAGAUCAAAGUAUAAUUUUUCUUUUACUUUUUUAAACAUGAUGAUAUUUUUUGAUUGAAUAAAAGAUAUGAUGUUCAUUUGUGAGUUUAUCAAAGCAUGUGAAGACAUAAACUUAACUCUCAAACAACAGAUCGAUUAAAAAGUCUAAUGGAGAUUGCAUACCUUUAUGACAAAGGAGUAGAGUACAGUGUCUUCCAUGCUGCUUAUGUUGAGAUGAAGGAUUUCAAAGGCCAAUUUCUCUAGCACAGUUAUUAUCUUGAUAACUUGGCCAGGGAUGCGCUUGGAAAGGGUUCGCAAGAGGACAUUUGAACCUGAUAUUUUUGCCUCUACAUCUGCAACUGGUGAGUUACAACAUGCCCCAAGUUCCUUUACGAUGUCCGAGUCAUAAGUAUUGUUCGAGGUUGGUGAUGGAGUUACUUGCAGUAAUGGCCUUGGGCUAGGAGUUGGACUAGGGCUUAAGCUCUUCCUCCUUUUCUUGGCCUCCAAUGACUGUAGAACUUGGUGCAACUCUUUGAUGAAUUCUAUGGCUCCUCCAAUAAUAGAUGCUUGGUCUCCCUUUUUUUGAUCAAUAACAAAUAAAAAAUAAUCAAUAUAAGCCAUUGUCAUCUUGUCGAAAAUGAGUCCUAUUUUCUCCGGUCGGUGAAGAAGAUGAUGUCCUUUUGGAAGAGUUUGAAGCCCCUCCUUAAGAAGAAAGACAUUCUAACCCUCAAAAUGGAACAUGAUAGGGUAAACUUAACCUCACUGGGCAUGCAUCUCUCUUCCUAUUGUUAAGUCAAUCAUUGACGAUUUUAUUCGCCUUCGAAGAGAAAAUCUAGUAAUUCAAAAAACAUAAUUCAUUCAUGGAUUAAUCUUCUCCCAGGACAAAGAUAUUUUAGUCAUCUGAAAAUUAUUUGGGAAUCAUUAGGAAUGUAUUCCUUGUCACUUUCGGUGAAGACACAUUAUUUUCCUUCCUCCAUUUUCUCAUGUAACUUCCAAUACAUCCCCUCCAAGUCCUUUUUCAUGCUACUACAGAUUACUAAAAUGCAGUUAGUUGCAUAGUGUCUCAACAAACUAAAAUAGGAAUUAGUAGGACAUCAGAAUAAAAAAAGCUCAAGGACCACAUAUAGGAGCAUCAGAGAGCUCAACUAACUUUUUGCAUCAUGAAGUCAUUUAUCACUUGUAUAUUUCACUCUUGACGACAAAAAUGUGAUGCUAAAAACCUCAUUAAUUCGAGAUUAAAUUGCCUCCUCUCUUUAAUGCAGUAAGAAAUAUGAUAGCCAGCACCGACUUCAUCUAUCUUCCCCCUUCUCCCCUCAAUCAAAUGGAAUGCAACCUAAGCUAUAUUGCACCACAAUAUUUCCCAUAGGUUAUAACGUUUUGAUUCAUAAAUCCAAAUCACCUACAUCAUAGCUUGCAUGGAUCAGAAAUGAUACAUAACUUAUGAGCAUGGACUAUUUAUUACAUACCCUUUUGAUGUAAAAGCUUGGCGUCAACGAUCGCAGCACCUUGAGAUGUUCAUUCAUUUGCCUUCUCCUGUUCCUCUCCACAGCAAUAUGAGACAUGUUUUUGUGCCUCUUGGGCUCACACAAAAAGCUAGAAUUCGUCUGCCGGCCUCCUUUCUCUUCCUCAGCCUUUCCUCACAUAUAAAUAUGCACACGCAUGCAGACUUGGAAGAUGUAUAGAAUGUUACCAUGGCUGCUCUUUACGUGCUCUCAUUUAAUGGUUGGUCUGCUCCCCCCCGUGAGCUGCAGCUUCUCUCUCNNNNNNNNNNNNNNNNNNNNNNNNNNNNNNNNNNNNNNNNNNNNNNNNNNNUCUUCUCUCUCUCUCUCUCUCUCUCUCUCUCUCUCUCUCUGUGUCUCUGUGUGUGUGUGUGUGUGUGGGUGGGGGGGGGGGGGUGUGGUGGGGCUGCAAACGGGGAGGCUUCUUUGGCUACCAUCUCUUUGUCACAUACUUUGGCCCGUCCUAUUGAUAACAAGGGAGGAAGGAAACGUUUGUAGUUUUAUGACAAGGCAAGACUUUUGGCUCCUAACCUAAACUUCAUGCCUAACUGCAUUGAUUACACAUUCACCUUCUCACGGGUCUGCACCAGCCUUAACAUACUACGAGCUUGAGUCCUUCCCCAAGUCAUGGGAAGCCUGGUGGGAUGCUUAAGAUUUAGAAGUGUCUUGCUCAGAUUUAAGAAAGCGGCUUGACUCUGCCGGCAAGCAAGCACGUAUACAAGAUAACUUGCUUCAAAUCCAAUUGGUUGCGAUCUCUCUUCUAAUGACUUCUUCUUGAGAGUGAUCCAACAUCCAAACUCUGGUAGUGGCAUAUUAUCACAACUUUAUUUUUCUCUUAAAAUUAGUUAGAAAGUUCGAGGCCUUUUGGCAUAGAGGAGUGUAUUAUCUAACUUAUAAAGUAACAACUUAUUAAAAAGGUGAUAUACAGUACAAAUAAGAAUUACAUGUAUUUUUUAGAACAAUGUACUGUAGCUGGUUGUCGAAAUUGGAUUUAACAAGCAAGGAAAUUACUAAAAAAAAUUAAGGCAACUGUACCCUAGGAAAAUGAACAGAAAAGUUACAAGCAAGGAAAUUAAAAAUCUACAACCAUUAUAUUCCACCAUAAUAAGAUCUGUUAGUCCUGUUAGCUAUUUAGGAUUUGAUCCAUGUAGUAAAUAGUAAUCUAUGAAAAUCAAGCAAUCAAUGUUUUUUUUUUUUUGGUAAAAUAUAGGAGGGGAGGGGGAGGGGCAGAACCCCACCCGCGUAGUAGCUCCCACUGGGCCCCCUUCCACCAGGAAAUGUUCGAUGCGGGUAGCAAAUUUCCGCAUGCCCUCCCUAACACGUGAAAAACCCCACUGGGCUAUCUACGUGUGACCACGUCACCCUAGUGCCACCUCAGUACUGAUGGAAGAAAAGCAUAUUCACACAGAGUCAUCCGGGCGUGGGGCAUGCGGUCUCCUGAUUUAAUCGAUGCCCGCGCAUUUCGAACCCAGACAACUCGGGUGGAGUCCAAGCCCCCUUAUCACCAGGCUAUCACCUUGGUAGCCAAACAAUCAAUGUUCAACCAACAAGCAAGAUCACGACAAAGUUUUUAUAUAUAUUGAAUUGCUGUGACAUGUGUUGUCUCAAGCAAGCUCUAUCCGUCCUGGUGUUAAAGCAAGUCAAACAAUUUCACUUUGAUCGGCCAGAAUACUUUUUGAGCAUCUAUGCGUGAUUACCAUAUGAUAGGUGUUUGUUGAGGCCCAACAAUUGUGGGUUUUUUUGCUAUCACUAAAAAUCUGCCAUUAUUGUUAAGCUAGCCCAUCAUAUUCUUUCCAAUAUAAUUAAUUCAGGAGGAUCCGCAGACUCGAUGUGGACUACUUUAGCCACUACGAGCAAAAGCUGGAUCAGGUCUAGAAGUGAGAUCAGCCACAUCGGGAAGCCGAGUCACAGGUCAAACUUCCGAAAGCCGUAACUUGUUAUAUGACGUCCUAUUUACAUGAUCUUUUUUUUUUUGAUUCGGAUAGUUUUCAAGCUCUAAAAUAUGACGCCAUGCCCUUUAGGGGGCAGCGCCUCCAGCGAUUAAGCCAAAAUUCUAUUGUUUGGGGUCUAAAAUGUACCGGUCAAAUCAGAAUUUUAUUUUUUGGGUAAGAUUUUGACCGGUUGUAUCUCUUCAUCCGAGGAUAAUUAGACAUGGCGAUAAAAGGCAGAGUUGAUGUAGAAGUUGAAAUUUAUCUCUUUAAAAUUUUAGUUUUUUCUAGAAUAUUUCUACUAGUAAUAUAUACUUUAAGAUCGAGUGUCCUAUUAAAACUAGAAAAAAGAAUCGGAUCCAAAUUAUAUAAGGGUGAACCUCACUAUUAUAAAUAAAGACUAUGUAACUUAGUUUUCAAUGAAAAAAAAGGAGACUUAAAUACUACUUUCGCAAUUUUUCUUUCUUCUUCUAGUUGUUUUUGAGAGAUUUGAGUUAAGCAGAUUGAAGAAAAUUUUCUUUUCCCCAAUUGGAUCAAUAAUAGAGAUCAUGUUGGAAUUGAAUGGAAUUUUUCUGUGCCAAAUUAUAUGCUCUGUGGUGUAAGCCAUUCUUGAGUAACGGGAUACAAUCAUCUACAUCCAUGCCUAGUUAUGAUAUGAGCUGGUUUGGAAGGUGUUAGAAUAAGUGGCUCAUAUUAAAUGGUAUUCUUAUUUGAGUGGUACACUGGUAUUCUAACGGAGCGGAGCGAAGCGACAAGAUAUAUUUAUCUUUGGGAUAAUUAUGUAAUAUUUUAUUUUACUAGGGUGCUGAUAGGGAUUGGGACUCUAGGGUUAGGGUUUAGCUAUAAAUAUCUUGUAACCCUUGUUAUUUGGUGACAGAAGAAAAGUUACGGCCGUUUCGCUCCCAUGGACGUAGGCACAUUGCCGAACCACGUAAAUACCUGUGUUCAAUUUCUUCUUCCUCUUUCUCUCUUAACUCUGUGCAUUGUUCUGUUCGCCGUUUGGAUCCUGUAUUUUUCCGCAACAAUUGGUAUCAGAGCCUCAGGUGAUAUUUCCUGCGGCCGUGGGCGGUGUUCUUCCCGUGGGGAGAAUAGAGGCGUCUUCUCCCAAGCCGAGAAAACGCAAAGAAAUUUUCCUCCCGUGGGUGGUCUUUUCCGUGCCAGGUUGGUUUCACAGGAGGGGUUGCUUCUUGAAGGCCGUGAAGAGAGGGAAAGGGGAGAUCAGCCGUGGAAUGGUUUCACGGGAGGGGUUGCUUCUUGAAGGCCGUGAAGAGAGGGAAAGGGGAGAUCAGCCGCGGAAGGUUUUGCUUCAACGUGAAGGUAGGAGAUUUUCCUUUCACGUCGGAGGGGUUUUUUGAGGGUUUUGUGUCCUCUCUCCCAAGCACAGGGAAUACAAUUCUUCACGUGGGCGUUCCUGCUUCACGUGGAAGGGGGGCUCGUGGGUUUCUUCUUCCCAACCGAAACCCCAUUGUUCUCUGGUUCGUCGUGGCUCCCGUGGAGAAAAGAAAACCCCAUCGCAGAGAGCAUCUUUCCCCGAGCACGCCGUCAACCCCGCAGCCUCCUUCCCGUCGUGCUCUUCAACGGAAAGCAGGAGAUCAAGGAGGAGAGGAGCGCUGUCCGAGCAAGGAAGCCCAAACCCCCAUCGUCGACCGACGCAAGCGAGGAGAGGAAGAACUUCCCGUCAUCCGCGCGCCACCACCGCCGUCCGUGGCGGGAUCCAGUGGAGGAAGAGGCCAUCGCUAGCGCUCCGCCCGCCGGUCCUCUCAUCGCGAGGAGGGGGGUUCUGCCGUCGCUAGCGUGCGUUCUGACCUAGGAGAAGAGAGGUGUUUUUGGUAUUUUAAUUUUUCAACAGAUCCUAUUUUUCUCUAUUUUAUUUUGCAAAAAGAUAAGAUUGUAGGGAUGUCUUCUGCAAAGUUUGAUGUGAUAAAGUUCGAUGGAACUGAAAAUUUCGGGCUAUGGCAGAGGAGGGUGAAGGAUCUGUUAGUAUCACAGGGUAUGGUGAAGGCCCUGUAUGGAAAGAAACCAGAUGACAUGGGUAAUGCAGAGUGGAAUGAAUUGGAGGCUAAGGCUAUUUCAAAUAUACGACUUUGUCUGGCUGAUGAUGUAAUGUAUCAUGUCAUGGACGAGGAAUCGCCGACGACAAUUUGGUCAAAGUUGGAGAGUCGGUAUAUGUCCAAGUCGUUGACGAACAAGCUCUAUCUUAAGCAGAAACUGUACGGUCUUAAGAUGAUAGAGGGUGCUGAUUUAAGCCAACAUAUCAACAUGUUCAAUCAGAUUAUCAGUGAUUUGCAGCGAGUUGAUGUGAAGUUUGAAGACGAAGACAAAGCGUUGAUGUUAUUGCAUUCUUUACCUGCUUCUCCUACGUACGAAAAUUUGGUUACAACUCUGACGUGGGGAAAGGAGACCCUAGAGUUAGAGGACGUCAUUGGAGCCUUGUUAGGUUUUCAUCAGAGGAAGAAAGCCAGUGCUGAGAGUUCUCAAGGAGAAGGCUUAGUGGUGAAGGGUAACCAGGAGCGUGGAAGAAGCAACACAAAGAAUGGAUCAAAUCGCAGUAAAUCUCGGUCUAAAUCUAGAAAAAAGAAGAGCAUAACGUGCUACAAGUGUGGAAAACAAGGUCACAUAAAGCGAAAUUGUCCUGAGAAAAAGAAGGGUAAAGAUGAUGACAGAUCUGAAGGGUCCAAGUCUGCAAAUAUAGUGAAAGAAGACACAGAGAGCAGUGAUGGUGAUAUACUUUCAGUUUCGUCCAGUUCAGAUCAUCUCGCGGAUUCUUGGAUUAUGGAUUCAGCAUGUUCCUAUCACAUGACACCCGAUAAAGAUUGGUUUGACACCUACAGGUUAGUUAAUUCUGGUUCUGUUUUGAUGGGUAAUAAUGCAUCUUGCAAAGUCAUUGGAAUAGGUAAUAUCAGAAUUACUAUGUUUGAUGGUGUGGUUAGAACGUUGUGUGAUGUUAGACAUGUUCCAGAUUUGAGAAAGAAUCUAAUUUCAUUGGGUACCUUAGACUCUAACGGGUUUUGUUACAAGUCUCAAGGUGGAGUAAUGAUGAUUAGUAGAGGUGCUAUGAUAGUGAUGAAGGGGCAGAAAGUAGUAGGGAACAUCUACAGGUUGAUAGGAACUACUGUUGUAGGUGGAGUUGCUGCUGUAGAGUCUGAGUCUGAUAAUACAGUCUUGUGGCAUAUGCGUUUGGGUCAUAUGAGUGAACGUGGUAUGCUGAAACUGUAUAAAAGAAAUUUUCUGAAGGGUAUUAAAACUUGCAAAUUGGAUUUCUGCAAGUAUUGUGUUCUUGAAAAACAGAACAAGGUUCAAUUCAGGACUGCCACGCACAAGACAGAGGGUAUUCUUGACUAUGUUCAUACAGAUGUUUGGGGACCAGUCAGAGUAGCAUCACGGGGUGGACAUACAUAUUUCGUAACUUUUAUUGAUGAUUUCUCGAGAAAGGUCUGGGUAUAAUUCAUGCAGCACAAGUCAGAAACGUUUGUCAAGUUCAAGUUGUGAAAAGCUAAAGUAGAGAAUCAGACAGGGAGAAAGAUCAAAUGCCUCAGGUCAGACAAUGGGACUGAGUAUACAGAUUCAAAGUUCAUUGAGUUUUGUGAGCAGCAUGGGAUUAAGAGACACUUCACAGUACGCAAGACAUCUCAGCAGAACGGUGUGGCGGAAAGGAUGAACAGGACUAUAGCUGAAAGAGCACGGUGUCUCAGGUUAAAUGCAGGGCUUGCAAAGAACUUCUGGGCAGAGGUAGUAAAUAUGGCAUGCUUCUUGAUUAACAGGUCACCGAGGGCAGCACUAGAUGGUAAGAUUGCAGAGGAGGUAUGGACAGGUAAUGAGGUAGACUACUCCGAUUUGAGAGUAUUUGGAUGUCCUGCCUAUGUGCAUAUUCCUAAUAAGGAGAGGUCAAAGCUAGACCCGAAGUCUAGAUAGUGUAUCUUUCUAGGGUAUCAGAAAGGGGUGAAAGGGUACAAGCUUUGGGAUUCGAAGGCAAACAAGGUGGUGAUCAGCAGAGAUGUAGUUUUUGAUGAGAAAAUCAUGUUGAAAAGUACUCAAGAAGAAGAGAAGUAGAUGCCAGAAAGUUGCAGCAGCAAUAAGCAGGUGGUGCAGGUGGAGUUAGAGAGUUAUGUCAAGAAGAAUAAUGUUCAGGGUACAGAGACUUCUACCUCAGCCGAUCAAGAGCAACAUAAUAUAACCACAGACAGACCCAAGCGUACUAUCAAGCCACCAACUAGGUAUGGUUUUGAAGAUUUGGUUUCCUAUGCAUUAAUCACUAGCAGUGGAAAUCCUACUACUUUUCAGGAGGCAGUACACAGCCNNNNNNNNNNNNNNNNNNNNNNNNNNNNNNNNNNNNNNNNNNNNNNNNNNNNNNNNNNNNNNNNNNCACGUCUGGUAGCAAAGGGAUACUCACAGAGAGCUGGGAUUGACUAUGAUGAGAUUUUCUCCCCAGUGGUCAGACACACUUUCAUCAGGAUAGUGUUGGCAUUGGUAGCACAUUACGAUAUGGAGUUAGAGCAGAUGGAUGCAAAGACAGCUUUUCUUCAUGGUGAGUUGGAGGAGCAGAUUUAAUUGCAGCAGCCAGAAGGGUUUUCAGAACCUGGACAGGAGCACUUAGUCUGUAAAUUGAAGAAGUCACUUUAUGGGCUAAAGCAGUCUCCGAGGCAGUGGUACAAGCAUUUUGACUCUUACAUGAUUCGGAUUGGCUACAGAAGAUGUGAGUAUGACUGUUGUGUUUAUAUGAGGAGCCUUGAUGAUGGUUCUUUUAUUUUUCUGUUACUUUAUGUGGAUGAUAUGUUGAUUGCUGCAAAGAGUAUGAAUGAAGUCAACAAGUUGAAGACUUUGUUGAGUAGAGAGUUUGACAUGAAAGAUUUGGGCGCGGUCAAGAAGAUUCUUGGGAUGGAGAUUCGCAGGGACAGAGAUUCAAGAAAAUUGUGGUUAUCUCAGGAUAGUUAUAUACAAAAGGCGUUGGAGAGGUUCAGCAUGGGUAAUGCGAAGCCAGUGAGCACACCUUUAGCGAAUCAUUUCAGAUUGUCUACCUCACAGUGCCCAAAGACAGAGAAAGAAAUUGAAGACAUGUCAAAGGUUCCAUAUGCUAGUGCAGUGGGGUGUCUGAUGUAUGCUAUGGUUUGUACCAGGCCGGAUUUGGCGCAUGCAGUUAGUGCAGUAAGCAUGUUUAUGGCGAAUCUAGGGAGACAGCAUUGGGAUGCAGUCAAGUGGAUUUUCAGAUACUUGAGGAGUACUACAGACCAUGGUAUCAUGUUUGUCAGACAGCAGGAUGAUCCUUCAGUCGUGGGGUAUGUUGAUGCAGAUUAUGCAGGAGACUUGGAUGACAGGAGGUCGACUACAGGCUAUGUAUUCACUCUUGUAGGAGGGCCUAUCAGUUGGAGGUCCAUGGUACAGUCUCUAGUUGCACUAUCUACGACUGAGUCAGAGUAUAUGGCAGUGGUUGAGGCUGCCAAGGAAGCAUUGUGGUUAACGGGAUUAGUCAAGGAGCUGGGUGUUCAGCAAGGUGGAGUUCAGUUGCAUUGUGACAGUCAGAGUGCGAUCUAUUUGGUGAAGAACCAGGUGUAUCAUGCGAGAACCAAGCACAUAGAUGUGAGGUAUCACAAGAUCAGGAAGUUGGUUUCUUUCGGUGACAUAUUGCUUGAGAAAGUUCAUACUUCUGAAAAUGGAGCAGAUAUGUUGACAAAACCCGUUACUGCAGACAAGUUCAAGCAUUGCUUGGACUUGGUUAACAUCUCUAGGUGCUAGAGAGGAUGCGUUCCAACCUAUCAACGUCAGGUGGUAUCCCAGGUUAUUUUUUCUCCUAAGGGGUGAAUAUUCGCCAAGGUGGAGAUUGUUAGAAUAAGUGGCUCAUAUUAAGUGGUAUUCUUAUUUGAGUGGUACACUGGUAUUCUAACGGAGCAGAGCGAAGCGACGAGAUAUAUUUAUCUUUGGGAUAUUUAUGUAAUAUUUUAUUUUACCAGGUUGUUGAUAGGGAUUGGGACUCUAGGGUUAGGGUUUAGCUAUAAAUAUCUUGUAACCCUUGUUAUUUGGUGACAGAAGAAAAGUUACGGCCGUUUCGCUCCCGUGGACGUAGUCAUAUUGCCGAACCACGUAAAUCCCUGUGUUCAAUUUCUUCUUCCUCUUCCUCUCUUAACUCUGUGCAUUGUUCUGUUCGCUGUUUGGAUCCUGUAUUUUCCGCAACAGAAGGCAAGGUUUGAUGUUCUGCUGCAGUUGCCAAGUAUUGUCGUUAAUCUAAUAGUACAAUCAAAACCUCCAAAACCCCUUAAAUGACCCUAAACUAUAACUAAAUAGCAAAAGUAAUAGUAAUAGUAAUGAUACUAAAAGAAAUGAGGUCAAGACUUAAAAAAUGCAGAAGCAUUACAGGUAGAUGUAUAAGUUAAUCCACCCUCACUUCUCGCCACCUACUAAACAAACAAAUUCCUGAAUUAUAUGUCGUAAUACAUUGGCAUGCCCUCCAUUGGUAAAAUAUAAUCACGAGAAAGUCUAUCUUGGUUGCACCAAUAGUUUGGAUAUAUCCAUUAUGUUCAUUGGAACAGGCAACUAUAACUCUUUAUUACUGGAUGCAUGGAAUGUGACAUGAAGACCAGAGGCAAAUGCUUAAGACUACCUCUAGAAGGUAGGGAACUCAACUCGUGAAGAACACUUGCUUUUUGGAUAUACUGGGCAAUCAAUGAGCUCUGUCCCUGAGGUAUCCACACACAUGUAAAUCUGGUAUAAUUGCCUAUUACCCGAUUCGUCCACAUUACACUCGAUACCUGGAGUAAAACCAAUUGCUUCUCGGAUUGCUUUGCUGAUGUUAUUCAACUUGUAGUACCCACCAUCUGGUACGAUUCCUGAAGCAUUUGCAUGAAACGUCAAGCGUAAGAAGAGGUGGCCAUGCAUGAUGCUUCCUUCAUAUUGGAGAACAAAAGAAAGCAAGGAAGUUUGUCCGCCAUCUACCUGCAUCUUGUAGGAUUUGAAGGAGGUUCGCUUGCUUCUUGAGGUUGAGAGCUGCUUCGAAGUAUGAGUGUUGAUCGAGAAUGGAUUCGGAGCAGGUGCCGUGCUUCUCCCAUUCAUGCGCCCAAAACUUGGAGCCAUCACCACUUGGACAUGCCAAGGUUGGCCAGUCUGCUCUCAUUCUGCCUAUCAGGUCCUUAAUCUGCAUAAAAUGUAGGAAGAAAUAAAACUGUUCCUUGUAAAAGCAAGAUUUGGGUUGUCUGUAAACACAAAUAUUGUAUUCAAGCUGAUUUUUAGCAGGCUUCUAAUAUUUUCUGUAUGUUAGGGCUAUGCACUCCACUUUUAUUUCCUAAGUAGAGUUUGGGACUGAGCAAAAUAAGAUGAUCAAACUUCAUUUUUAGAAGUGAUCUAUUUUUAUAUUUGUCUGGAUAAAUAGGAACUGAAUUUGACUCAUAUCUUCGUGGAUGUUAGACUUUGAUAUAAAUAUUUACCAUAAGGCAUGGCUUUGCAUCUCCACAAGUUAAUAUAAUCAUCAAGUUCGUUAAAUAAAUUUUAUCCUCUUCCAUUUUAUUGAAAUAAAUAUUGAUUAAGAAAUUUUCAUUUUAUUUUUUUAUUUCUGAGAAUAAUGAUGGGAGAACCACCUCUUAAAAUUAUCCAGAUCAAGCAUUUAGAAAAUAAUAUCGUGAAUUUUUGGAACCAAAAACUUCUCCUUCGCAAGGCGGAUGCAACCACUAGGCUAUAUUCCAUUUUACAAGCAUGUUGUGAAAUCACUAGGCUAUAUAAAAAGCUUCUCAUGCAACCAGUAUUCCAUUGUUGUCUGUAUUUUAUUUCCUGUUUAUGCUCGAUCUCCUCUUGAUUAGAUUUAUGCUGUCCUUAAUUUCAUAUAUAUAACUACACCCCAAGAUGUGUCCAUGAUAAUUGUUUUAGAUAAAAAUUAAUAUUUCAUGUGUAAAUAAAAUAAUUAGACUUAUAAUUAUUGAAAAAGUUGAAAAAGAGUGAUAACUAAUUACAAGUUUUUGAAAACUCAAAAAAUAAAAAAUUGGAUGUGCCAGUAUGAAACCGGCACAUCUUACCCAUACCGAUUAUGCUUCCGAGCUGUACCGAGCAUUGACUAGUACAGGUCUGGUACCGGUUCGGCGGACCUAUUUUACCCAUGAAUAUAAUGCACAUGCUUCUGAAUCUUUCCCAAUUUUUAAGCUUGCACCCUUUUUUUUUAAAUGCUUAUUAUUUUAAAUGCUUCUGAAUCUUUCCCAAUUUUUGAGCUUGCACCCCAAAAUGUUUUAAAAAAAUUUGCUUCCCUGCAUAUCUUCUUCUGAUUUUGGUAACUGAGAUUUGGUCCUUGAAACCUCUUACAUUAGAAUUUUGAUUCACUCUUUUGUCACCAAAAAACAAUUAGAUCCAUCAAAAAAUAUAGUUAUGCUUGUUUAAUCUUAAAUAUAUCCUUUUUUUCCUUUUUCUAAAAUAAAAUGUGCAUGAAUGUUUGGAGCAUUUUUCUUAUUGAUUUUUUUUUUCUUUUCAUUGGAAGAAAGGUGUAUGCACACUAGAAUGGGUAUUUGUGUAGUUCUGAUUAAGAACCGAAAUUUUAGAAAAGAAAUCAUUGGGCGCUGAAUGUACAUGAAUUCAUAUGUGCUUUGAAAUAUUAUAAUAUCAGUUAUGAAAAUCUAUUGUCAUUGAUAAUAACAGAUAAGAAACUAGAAUAGAUUCUUAUUAAAAAUAGAUAAAUGAUUCAAUAAUGAAUAAUUAACUAACAAAUUUAUUGUCGGGGAAGGUAACACCCGGUCUUUGUUCGGUUGCCAUUUGAUGGUUAAUCUCUACGUAAUUAACCAUUUCAUGUAAAAUCCUUUAAGAACAACAUUAAUGUUUUUACAUGUAGCAAGUCCAUGUUUGUUGCACAUAGAUGGCUUGUUUUUACACAAAUCAUGGACUGAACAUGAAGUGUGGUCUUUGAAACAUGUUAGGCUUGUUAUAUAAGCUCUUUUAACCUGGCUUAUAUGCAGCUUGCUUCAUACCAAUAGUUUUAGCUCCCAAAAAAAUAUAUCAGAGACUUGGAAGCCGGCAAGAGGAUGAACAACAUUAACACAAGGAGAGAAGAUGAAGAACAGGCAGGAUUACCUUCGAGGAAUCAAACGAGUUUCGAGGAUCACAACUAGAUGGGUAAGCGCCAUCGUUGUAAUUAGGCCAGAGCCCAUGGAUGCCAAAAUCUGCAGCUGGUUUUCCAGUGGAUGGGUAGCAACAACUUUUCUUGGUGUCACAGUAGGAACCUGGCCACUGCAUGACAGACCAGAGCUAAGACUAAGAUGGCCAUUCAUAUUGCUAAGAUAAAUAAAGAGUGCCAAACUCUCUCUGGUGUCUCAAACUCUAAAUUUUUAAAAAAAAAGGUGUCCUACCUGCUGAACAAAGUAGAAGAAAUCGAAAUCCUCAGCAGUGGCUGCAAUUGCCAGGGAAAGUAGUACCAUCAUAGGAAAUAAGGAUUUCUUCUUCAUUGUUCCUUGGGCUUAUGCAAUGAAGUGAUUGUUUUCCUUGAGGUGGACCUGGUUUGGAGUUGGUAGCAAGUUCGAAGUGGAGCAAUGAAGUGAUUGUUUUCCUUGAGGUGGACCUGGUUUGGAGUUGGUAGCAAGUUCAAGUGGAGCAAUGAAGUGAUUGUUUUCCUUGAGGUGGACCUGGUUUGGAGUUGGUAGCAAGUUCGAGUGGAGGAAACAAAGUACUGCUGUGGUGUUUAUAUUUAUAAACCGAGUCUGGGCUUUGGGGAGUAAGAAUUGACAAAUUCUAUGGCAUAUUCAUAGAAUCAUUGUGGAGAGAAGGAAUAGCAUGUAAAAUAUAGAACUAUUUGGUCACCAUGUCAAGACAGAGUGUGUUCACACUAUAAAAUCCUUUUUUUAUAGUGAGAAUUGACAAAUUCUAUGGCAUAUUCAUAGAAUCAUUGUGGAGAGAAGGAAUAGCAUGUAAAAUAUAGAACUAUUUGGUCACCAUGUCAAGACAGAGUGUGUUCACACCUAAUCUCUUUUUUUUUUGUUCUUUCUUUACUUAUAUAAAAUCCUUUUUUAUCUGAUGAUUUCUUUUAAUAGCCGCCGUUCAGUUGAAGCAAACUUAUAAUACAACAUGAACAGAGCUAUACCAGCCAUGUAAUAUAUAUAUAUAUAUAUAUAUAUGGUAGGAGAGAUGCUGACGGUAUUAUAAGCUUAAAGUGGCAUUUGGUUGUGGAAUAAGUUUUCAAGGAAUAAAGAACUACCGUAAAAAUAAAAAAUUUCUAUGGACAAGUUCCGAGGACUUAUUCCAUGGAAUAGAAAUGUUCUGCAUUUAAUAAGUCGUAUAAGGGUAAGUUGUAUAUAUUUAUAAAUAGGAUUUCACAAUAAUUUGAUUACAAGGACUAACUUGCCCUCUCACUUUUUAAUACCUUUAGGGAGUUGUUAAGUGCAAAAAAUAAUUAGAGAGGAUAACUUUCCUUCUUCAUGGUAUAAGACUAUUCUUAGAAAAUGGUGGGAUAGAAUUAUACCCUCUCUCUGCUACUUAUUUGUUACCAAGGUAUAACCUAUUCUGAGUGACAGAAGAUAAUGUUUGGUUGCAUAAACAGGGAAUAAGGAUCUUAUUCUGUUUAAUUCCCACUUAUCAAACCGACCCUCAUUGACUUAGAUCAAAAACGAAAAAAAUAGACCCUUAUUGCAUGGAAAGGAAAAUAAAUGAACUUAUUUUGGUGACAGACAUGAAAGCAAUGGAUCACAACAAAUAACAUUUUUUUUUUUGAGAAAAGGAGGAAAAUUCAUGAUCUACACUAUAGUUAUCCAACUCUAAAUUUUCGGACAUGUAUCGCCCAAGAAUUGAGUCCAGAAUGUCUGGUUCAGAGCAAUCUGUAGAUUUCAGUCAUUGGCCCUCAUCAUUUUUACUUGCUACAUAACGAUCUCUCAUAAGAUAACUAAAUUUACUUCGUGGUGGAUUUAUUUGGAUAUUUGUUUUGCUCUUUUGAACAGAAAAGUACCGAGUCCUCUAGUAGAGCUGCAAAUUGAUUAAAUUAUUAAUGAAUAGUUUGAACUUGUCUUGAUGGCUGGCUUGUUUGAGUUUAUUCAAGUAGGAAAAAAGUUGAAGCUCAAAUUUUGUUCUAUGGUUUCUAUGAGGAUCCGUGCGGGCGUGUUUUUAGUCCCACAUCGGUUAUUCGCUGGGUAGAUUUUGAGUACUUAUACAGGAUCAAGAAACCCAAAUAAUACCUUCCGGCUAGCCAUUUUGGAUAAGGUUCUGGGUUGUUACAAAUUGUAUCAGAGCGGACCUGGCCCAUAAUCUAUGUGGACUAAGGGACACUGCAGCACGGAUCCAUUGAGGCCAACUAUAAGCCGAUCAUGGUAUUUGUGAUUAGAUUUGAAUGGAUUUGAACCCUUAGCCUGACGAGGACAUCAGGGCUUUAACGAAGGGAGUAUGUGAGGACCCGUGCGGACGUGUGUUUAGUCCCAUCUCGAUUAUUUACCGGAUAGAUCUUGAGUACUUAUACAGGAUCAAGGAACCCAAAUAAUACCUUCCGGCUAGCCAUUUUGGGUGAGGUCUUGGGUUGUUUCAGUUUUACUGGUGAGAGAGCCAAGUCUGAAUACUCUGGCCUCAGCAAAAUAAGUGGAAGAGGCUUAGCUUCAUAAUAGGUUAAUUUGUUCUGACUUGUUUGCAGUUUUGGAGCUUGGUUGAAGAUAGCUUGCAUCUGUAUGUAUAUAAAGAUAUGUAUAUGUAUAUGUUUGUAUGUAUGUGUGUGUAUAUAUAUGUAUAUAUGUAUAUGUGUAUAUGUGUAUAUAUGUAUAUAUGUAUAUAUGUAUAUAUAUAUUGUAUAUGUAUGUAUGUAUGUAUGUAUGUAUGUACACAUGAGAAAGGGGGGGAGAGUGAUUGGCGGAUCUCGCAAAGUAUACUUUAAAUAUGCCUUUUUUAUUUAUUAUUCUGUUUUAUUUUUUUUGAGAAAAUGGUGAGAAAUACCAUCUUUUUUGUGUUUAAGCUGGAAGGUCUCCCCAAGGAGAGGGUGGCAAACAAGAAGACCAAGUCCUGUUAGUGAUUUGCAAAUUUACUUGUUAGGUGGUUUUCAAGGUCAGAAGUCUAACAAGCAUUGCCUUCGCUACUUGUUUGGACAAGAUUGCCGAUGUGGAUAAGAGUUUUUUUUUUGCAUUCAAGAAUGGUCAAGGCAUGCACCUUCCUUUUGCAAUUAAUUAAAUAAAUAAUUGAUUAAAAGAGUAGUUGAUGGACUAAAAUAAAAAAAACCAAAGCAGUUGAGAAGUGAUUGUGAUGGAAUGUUAUCAUAUUAUAAUCACCAUAAAUAUCACCAUUGUUCAAUGUGCCUUGAAUUUCUGGAUCCAUCCUGCUCUAUGAUAUGGUUUGACAAAUUUGGAGAGAAAAAAAUUGAUUGAAUUUUUUGUGAGAUCUGUGAUAAUAGGCACAAGCCUGAAGUUCACCAUUGACCUCUUUCGAUGAUGCAUAAGUGCUUACUUAGAUUGUAUCACCCUUUACUGCUUGUAGGAUUGUUUUCUUACAUGCAAACCCAUUUCUUUUGGCCGAUCUUGAUCCCCACCACAUCUUGAUCUCAACCUGAUAAUAAAUGUGUUGGGUAUGGAAUUAAAGUCAAACUAGCUGGAACUUUCCAGUUAGUUUUAUUUAUACAUCUUUCAAUUGGGGAAAAAAUAGAAAGUAAUAAUAUAUUAGAAUAUAUUUGGAUAUUUAUACUUGACUUCAUGUAAAAUAUAUCUUUUCAAUUUUUAGUUCGUUACUUUUAUAGAGUUAACUAUCUAGUUUUCAUUCACGGUUUAAUUUUUAUAGCAUAUAUUAGAUAUUUUGUUAAUUAACUUUUUAAAAUAUGAUUUUUUUAGCUUGAUUAACUUUUCAACAUAUAAUAUUUGAUAGCCAAUUGAUAAUUCGACUCAACGCCCACCCAACCUACAAUCGAUACACAUUUUUAAUAUUCUAUUAUGAGAACCCGUGUGGGCGUGUAUUUAGUCCUACAUCGGUUAUUUGCUAGGUAGAUCUUUGGUACUUAUAUGGGAUUAAGAAACUCAAAUAAUAUCUUCUGGAUAUUUUUUUGGAUGAAAUUCUGGGUUGUGAUAAAUAGUAUCCCAGCAAACCCAACCCAUGAUCUAUGUGAAUUAGGAGAUGCUACAAUAUGGACCCGUUGGUUUAAUCAUGAGUUGAUAGUAGUGUUUGUGAUUAGAUUUGGAUCUUUAGCUCGGUGAAAAUACCAAAGUUUAAAUAGUGCUGGUAAAUCUUGAGUACUUAUAUAGGACCAAAAAAUUUAAAUAAUACUUUCUGGCUAAAUUUUUUGGACGAGAAUCUUUCAAUAAACUAGUUAUGGAAUAAAAGUUACUUGUAACCUCAACAAGCAUUGGUCUAUAUUUGCUAAAACCUAGAAAUGACUUGGUAGCGCCCCUAGCUACUUGAGCAAGAAGUUGAGAGGUUCGAUUCUAGUUGGGGUCAAUCCUAAAGGUGGGAUGGUUAGACUAGGUUCAACCCCAAAGGUGGGAUGAAUAUCUCUAUAACUAUUAAUCAGACAUGAGAGAGAAACCUCUCCUUCUUCUAGAAAUUCGUCAAAAUUCCAAAGAAAAUCGAAGAAAGUAAUAUAUGUACCAUAUCAUUAAGAAACUAUAUCAUCCCCCAUUUGAGGAGUGGGAAGGAGUUCAUUUGGUUCUUACUUAAGUUUUAAAUCAUUUCUAAACUUUAAACCAUUCAAUUAUGUACAUAGAAUUACUGCACGUUGGAAGAGUCCUUUUUCUUGGGGAAAACAAACUGAUCUAAUCUUGUAGUUAGUAACUUGGAGGACAAAUUGUGGAGAAUUUUUACAGUUAAAAAAAAUAAAUGUAGAUACAUGGUCUUGAGAGCAUGCCAUUCCCUAAUAAGAAGAGCCUUUCAUUUGGGAUGCGCCCUCCACCAACUGGAGGUCCCAACUCAACCCCAUGGUGUGGCAUAUGGUUGUCAACAAGAUGUAAACAAAUCCUUCUUUGCCUCUUGACUCCAAUACCAGUGCUCUAAGUCAUGCUAGGGUUAUUUCAUGAAUGUAUUCGAGACUUGAAAAAUCAAUUCACAUUUAAUAUUUCUUCUUGAAAGUUUCUGCCUGAAAUUUGUGCAAAAUCAUUCUUUAUGUCUCUUUUUUUAAAAAAAUCUUUUGCUUGUGCUUUGGCUAAUUGUUUCUAAUUACUAAUUCAAAAAGGAGGAUCCAUUUGAUAUAUUGACAUUCCAUUUUGGUGAGGGUUGCUUUGGGUUAUAUUGUUUAAAUACUGCAAAAUAUGAUCUUUUUUGGUUUCUUUAGCCCUUUGGAUAAGAUCUAUUAAAGUAGUUGUUUGUAAGGAAGUUGCAUUCUGAUUGGUAUAUUAUUAACAUUUUAUUCCUGAUUGGAUUUGUUUUUUGUGUUCUUUGACCCUUGUGAACUGAUUAACUUUGUAUAUUCUUGGAAAGAAUUCGAUUAAAUAAGCUAAUGAGAAUGCUUAGAAAACAAAGCCAAUGCAUUAAAAUAUCUGACAUGCAUGCCCAUUCAAAUUUAUUCUUUCUCCCCUUGCAAGGUUUUGGUCCAUCGGAAUGAAGAAACAAAUGUCUUUGUGACAUACUCCAUUAUUUUAUGCUAUAAAUUGUUGAUGAGAAAGUAGAUCAAAUUCAUGCAUUGCUUUCCUGUGCUAUGCGAUUCUACAGAUUGUAUAAAACUCCAUUAUGCCCCAUCUAUUGCUAAUAAUUAAGAAGUCAAUAAAUGCUUUUCACUACUAUUUUUAAUAAAUAAAUAGUACUCUUUAUUGUUGGUGACAUAGUUGAAAAUAACUUCCUAAAUUUUUUGGAUCUCUCUAUGAAAAUAAAUUAAAGAGAAUAUAUUUCCUAUUCAUUAGUUAUCCUAACUUAUUUGCAAGGACUCUUCAAUCAAAUUAGCAAUUUUAAAGAUCUUAACAAAUUGACUCUGCUUUUAGGGUUUUAAAAAUCAUGUAUCGGUGACUAGUAUUUUUUUUCUUAAGUGAGUAUUAGGAUAUAGAGUGUAUAACAUGUGGUUUUAAUUAAAAAGUGAAAGAUAAUAUUGGAUGCAAUCUUGAUAUUUGCUGAUUCAAUUAGACUCUAGAUCUUCAUUUAGCAUCUAUAUCUUGUUCAUAUAUUUCAAAUUUUACUUGCCUCCAAUUUAUUGGAAUUUCCUCACAAACUCUUAAACUUAUUCUAUAUACGAGAUAAGAUAUAUAUCUUUCGUAUAAAAUUGAAAUCAUAUUUUCUAAAUAUUUUAUAACUAUUUAUUUACAUAUUUUCUAUUUUGUGAGGGUAUUUUACUUGUACAAUCAAAAGGGAUGGAAUUCAGCCUCUUACAAUCUCAGAUAUAAUUAUUUAUUUUAGAAAUUACGUAAAUGGCAAAUGCCCAACUCUAGUUAUAAAACAUAAAAAGAAUGCAGAAAUAUUUUUUUUUUCCUUAAUACAACGGCGGCUUACAGGUCUUCCAUUAUUACAACCAAUAAAAUUUAAAAAAAAUUGAUGGAGAGAAAAAAAGAACAAUCUCAUAAUUCUUCCAAAAAAAAACUCUAUCUGAAUAUUGGGCAAAAAAAAAAACCUAAUCAGCAGUAACCUGUGUAUGUUUUGUAGUAGCGUAUUAUCUGUCGUCAAUUUUGUAUUGGACAUUGUUGCUGGAAAUUGGACCCGGGGGCCGCCGCGAAGCCGGAGAAGGAGGAGCUCCGCUGCUACAGGGGGCGGACGGCGGUGCGCCGGCCAGNNNNNNNNNNNNNNNNNNNNNNNNNNNNNNNNNNNNNNNNNNNNNNNNNNNNNNNNNNNNNNNNNNNNNNNNNNNNNNNNNNNNNNNNNNNNNNNNNNNNNNNNNNNNNNNNNNNNNNNNNNNNNNNNNNNNNNNNNNNNNNNNNNNNNNNNNNNNNNNNNNNNNNNNNNNNNNNNNNNNNNNNNNNNNNNNNNNNNNNNNGUAGAUUCGACUUGGUCGCUUGUCGAGGACUACUAGCGCGCGCAAGGCUCCGACCAAUACAAGAUCCGAGAAAAAAAAGAGCGCCAAAAGAAAAGGCUAUUUCCAUAACUCGAAUUUAUCACAUUCAUAAUGUAACGACCUUACUAUUGCACUAAGAUCUACCAUCUACUCAUCCAAAAUUUAUCCUUUUAGAAUUUCAAUUAGCUACAAGUUUACGGGUGAAUUUUGAUAACUGCCAUUGGUCUUCAUUUGGAGAUAAUCCAUCUUCAGCCGCUCAUCUAGCUAACGUACUCGACUGCAAGUCUUCUUCAUUUUGUGUUGAUUAUCUGGGCCUGCCUCUAUCCUUACUCUUAAAAAAAUCCAAUAGCAACAUUUUUUUUGGUAGAUUUGAUUCUAAGGCUCUGUUUGGGAGAGCUGUUGGCAGUAGAGCUUUUGAAAUUAGAGCUUUCUGAAGUAGAGCUUUUAUAAAAAGAUAUUUGUUAUUUGGUAAUACAUUUCUAAAGUGUUGUACCACUUUAACAUGUGUUUGGUAAACAAACUAACAAAGUACUUUGUUACUUUAGCUAACAAACUAACACUUUAAAUUAGCCAGUUGAAAAGCCUUCUCCUAAAGGGAGAUUAACACUUAGUAACUUAGCUUUGACACGUCGUCCCUUUUACUAUAUAUCUUUAUCUUCCUUAUUCCAAGUUGGCUAAUCUUAAGCGAGAUAGUUUAAGAAGGAUUUUUUUCCGAAAAGAUUCCCAACCAUAUGCUUUUGCUUCCUUGAUAAAUCUGAAUUAGGUAUACAUAAAAAGGAGAAGGUGGCCCGAAUCUAAAUAAAUUUAAUAAAACAUGGUUAGGUAAAUGGGGAUAGAGACCUUUGAAAGAUGAUAGGCAAAUGUGGUGAUCAUAGUUCAAAUCCUCUCUCUUCAUAGCAUGCAUCAUUGCCAUAGUAAAUUAUUUUAUACUUCAAGAACUUAAUGAUUGUGUUACACAGGCAGAUAUAAAGUUACUUUUUUUUUGUGUUGCAUGUUUAAAUCUAAGGGUUCUAUUUCAUGCUCUAUUGAAAGGGGGUGUGGUCGUACCCAUGACCAUGGCAAUCCACGCCAUUAUAUCCUUCGCCGGGGUCCUCUUAAAAAGCCCUGCGGCUAAGCCUAUGUCAUUGGUCUUGGCAUGGGCGACAAUCAAUGAAGUCCAAAAUAUGGUAUCUCUAACAAAUAUUUCAUCAAACAUCUUACGAGCAAACAUCAGGCCAGAGCACUUGACGUAUAUUGGAGAUAAAGAUGCUCUAGAUAAAGAGAUUGAUGUCGAAGUUAUUGGUGGUAAGGGUUUGGGUGUAGACUCGGAUGCUCAUAAGGAGGGAGCAGGUAGUGGUACAAACCUUGAGAAGAGCGGAGAAGGUAAAUAAGAGAGGCAAAGAGGGAGGCAAUCCUUUGCCAUUGCACCAAGCGAUGACCCUUUUGAAAAUAGGCUUAACAUUAAGUGAAAAUUCGAAUGGGAAAUGUUUGCUCCAUCCUUUUUACCGCCCUCUUUAGCUCUCACGCCCUGAUUUACACAUACCAAUAGUCACCAGAUUCAUAUGGGCUACGGGGGAGUAGGCAAUGAUCUUCUUAAGAUCGAUCUGUCUUGAAGUGGUCGAGGGAGUAUAUAUUAUAGCAAUCGCGCUUGGAGUAUAAAUGAAAGGAGUGGAACGAAGUGUCGCUUCGGGAAACAUGGGUAUUGAAAAUCUUAAAAACCCAUGGGUUCCCAAUUUUGAAGGAAUUCCUGCCAAGAUGAGGGAUCCAGCCGUAGGUGCCUCUACAUGGGCUUCGGGUAACCAAAUAUGAACUGGUACCAUAGGCACUUUGACGGCGAAAGAGGCGAAAGAAGCAAUCCAUAGAAAGAUUUGGCGCCGCUCACUAAAUUCUGUGGUUAAUAAGAUUUGUGAAUCGGUGGUUCCUGUUUGGAAAAGAAUCAACGGAAUAGCUAAUAGCAUAAAAACUGAUCCAAGUGAAGUAUAUAGGAAAUACUGAUAUGCAGCCUUGAUCUUUCUUUGUCUCGAACCCCAUACUUGAUUAUAUACUUUUGCUUUGCCCAUUUGGUAGAUUUACCUGGCACCAAGUCAGACUUAGAUGCAAGAUUACUUGGCCUUGGCCUAGAAUUCACACUUUCAAAGCAACUUGGCAUUAGGGGACAAAGAAUAGAGUAUCGAAUCACUUUCAGCUAGUUGAAACUUGUUGAUGAUGACUAUUUAAUGGUCACUCUGAAAAGAAAAAAAAUAAAAUAAAACAAGCUUCUGUUGACAAUUAAAGAUCAACAAGGAAGUUUUAAAUGAAGCCCUCUCUAUUCCUAUCAUCAAAACAAGUGGUUGCUUUGAAGAAGACUACAUCUUACAACAACCUUCUGUCUGCCCUCCUCAUGACCACAGCUACUGCUUAAUCUCUAUAAAAAGUUGAUCCUUUUUGGCUGAGAAUUUGCUCAUUGUAUAUUUUUCCAUUCACUAUAGAAGCAGGUGAAAAUUUGCCCCACCUUAUUUUUUUGAAAAGAACAAGAAAAGUGGAUUUAGCUCAUAAAUUUUUUUUAAAAAAAUUGACUCAUGAAAUUGGAAACUAGAAUAUAAACCCAAUCACUGUAAGAAUCUAGAGUACACUAGAGAUGCAGACAAUGCUUCAAAACCAAGUACAAAAGGAUGUUCAUAGAUUUCUGGAUCUUUAAACUGAUAGAACUCGUGAAUGCUCUUAUAACUCAACCAAUGCAAAAUAAAUUACUAAAAUGAGGUUAAAAUAUAUUUUAAGAUGUCCAGCGUAAAAAUUUCACAAGUUGUGAAGGCAUAAUAAAUUAAUAAUUAGUGUCAAGUUAGAAAAAAGGGACUCCCCUCUUAAUAGCAAACCUCGUUACUGACAUUAAAUGGUUGUUUGGAUGACAAGUUUCAAUAAAAUAUAUUUAAAAAAUCAAAACGAAGGAGCUUUAAAAAUGGUUGUUUGAUUUCAUAAAACUUGGGAAAGAAAACAAGUCUUUACAACUUUACCCCAAGUCUUUACUCAAAAAAAUAAGUCUUUACACAAAAACAAGGCUUAAGAACAAGUUUUAAGGAUCUACUAAACAAUCUCUAAGACUGAAGCCAUUCUCAUGCUCGCUGAUGCUUACAUGUCUCUCUCAAAGAGAGGGGGGGAAGAUCCACACAAGAUAAGAUGUAUAGACGCAAAUAUUUAAGUGCACAGCUCAAGAUUGAAAUGCAGAAUCUCAAUUUCGAACAUAAGAGGUAUGACCAUCCGGCAUGUCUAGUUGACCUAACACUGGUUCAGGUUAUAUCUUUCAUGCAGAAGAAUAAUUCACCUUCUUUCGUGAUGUUAAUCAUUUGAUCGCGCAAUAGCUAUUUCAAAAUCUAUAUAGGCAGAUAGAAGAAAAAUAUUGACAUCGUGAAAGAAAAUCAAGCAUUCUUUCGUACCAAAGGUACAACCCGAACCUCUAACACUAACUAAAUGAGCAUAGAAUGGAUAAGACAAUAGCGGCAAUUCUAUUAGUGGCUUUUUUUGGGUAAUGAUUCCAUUAGUGGCUUUUGGUGAUUGUGGUCUNNNNNNNNNNNNNNNNNNNNNNNNNNNNNNNNNNNNNNNNNNNNNNNNNNNNNNNNNNNUUGCUGGCGCUCAGGGGCGGCGCCGCACAGGCUUGCUGGUUGGCUUUACUUGGAGCCGGUGGACCAUGACCUCUGGAUCUAUCCCCGGCAUGUCCGCAGGUGACCAUGCGAAGACAUCCAUGUUGUCUCGCAGGAAAUUGACGAGACGACUCCUCUCGUGCUCAUCGAGGCCAGAGCCGACCUGCACGGUUAGCUCAGGAAAGCUCUCUCGUAAGGGAACUUGGAUUAGUAACUCACCAGGCUGUACCCGCUCUUUCUGAGGGUCGACCCGUGCCUCCAUGACCUCAGUUGAGGGCUGGUCAGUCGCUGGGGCAGGCACCUCGGCGGGUCGCUUUGCCUCAUGGGUCGCCAGGUAGCAUCUCCUUGCCACCAUUUGGUCUCCUCGGACUUCGCCGACCCCCUGGCUGGUGGGGAAUCGCAUGAGCAGGUGGUGAGUGGAGACCACCGCUCGGAGGGCAUUGAGGCCUGGCCUUCCGAGGAUGGCAUUAUAGACCGAGGGAAGGCGUAUCACGAGGAAGCUCAUCCCCACGGUACUUUCACGGGGGGCGNNNNNNNNNNNNNNNNNNNNNNNNNNNNNNNNNNNNNNNNNNNNNNNNNNNNNNNNNNNNNNNNNNNNNNNNNNNNNNNNNNNNNNNNNNNNNNNNNNNNNNNNNNNNNNNNNNNNNNNNNNNNNNNNNNNNNNNNNNNNNNNNNNNNNNNNNNNNNNNNNNNNNNNNNNNNNNNNNNNNNNNNNNNNNNNNNNNNNNNNNNNNNNNNNNNNNNNNNNNNNNNNNNNNNNNNNNNNNNNNNNNNNNNNNNNNNNNNNNNNNNNNNNNNNNNNNNNNNNNNNNNNNNNNNNNNNNNNNNNNNNNNNNNNNNNNNNNNNNNNNNNNNNNNNNNNNNNNNNNNNNNNNNNNNNNNNNNNNNNNNNNNNNNNNNNNNNNNNNNNNNNNNNNNNNNNNNNNNNNNNNNNNNNNNNNNNNNNNNNNNNNNNNNNNNNNNNNNNNNNNNNNNNNNNNNNNNNNNNNNNNNNNNNNNNNNNNNNNNNNNNNNNNNNNNNNNNNNNNNNNNNNNNNNNNNNNNNNNNNNNNNNNNNNNNNNNNNNNNNNNNNNNNNNNNNNNNNNNNNNNNNNNNNNNNNNNNNNNNNNNNNNNNNNNNNNNNNNNNNNNNNNNNNNNNNNNNNNNNNNNNNNNNNNNNNNNNNNNNNNNNNNNNNNNNNNNNNNNNNNNNNNNNNNNNNNNNNNNNNNNNNNNNNNNNNNNNNNNNNNNNNNNNNNNNNNNNNNNNNNNNNNNNNNNNNNNNNNNNNNNNNNNNNNNNNNNNNNNNNNNNNNNNNNNNNNNNNNNNNNNNNNNNNNNNNNNNNNNNNNNNNNNNNNNNNNNNNNNNNNNNNNNNNNNNNNNNNNNNNNNNNNNNNNNNNNNNNNNNNNNNNNNNNNNNNNNNNNNNNNNNNNNNNNNNNNNNNNNNNNNNNNNNNNNNNNNNNNNNNNNNNNNNNNNNNNNNNNNNNNNNNNNNNNNNNNNNNNNNNNNNNNNNNNNNNNNNNNNNNNNNNNNNNNNNNNNNNNNNNNNNNNNNNNNNNNNNNNNNNNNNNNNNNNNNNNNNNNNNNNNNNNNNNNNNNNNNNNNNNNNNNNNNNNNNNNNNNNNNNNNNNNNNNNNNNNNNNNNNNNNNNNNNNNNNNNNNNNNNNNNNNNNNNNNNNNNNNNNNNNNNNNNNNNNNNNNNNNNNNNNNNNNNNNNNNNNNNNNNNNNNNNNNNNNNNNNNNNNNNNNNNNNNNNNNNNNNNNNNNNNNNNNNNNNNNNNNNNNNNNNNNNNNNNNNNNNNNNNNNNNNNNNNNNNNNNNNNNNNNNNNNNNNNNNNNNNNNNNNNNNNNNNNNNNNNNNNNNNNNNNNNNNNNNNNNNNNNNNNNNNNNNNNNNNNNNNNNNNNNNNNNNNNNNNNNNNNNNNNNNNNNNNNNNNNNNNNNNNNNNNNNNNNNNNNNNNNNNNNNNNNNNNNNNNNNNNNNNNNNNNNNNNNNNNNNNNNNNNNNNNNNNNNNNNNNNNNNNNNNNNNNNNNNNNNNNNNNNNNNNNNNNNNNNNNNNNNNNNNNNNNNNNNNNNNNNNNNNNNNNNNNNNNNNNNNNNNNNNNNNNNNNNNNNNNNNNNNNNNNNNNNNNNNNNNNNNNNNNNNNNNNNNNNNNNNNNNNNNNNNNNNNNNNNNNNNNNNNNNNNNNNNNNNNNNNNNNNNNNNNNNNNNNNNNNNNNNNNNNNNNNNNNNNNNNNNNNNNNNNNNNNNNNNNNNNNNNNNNNNNNNNNNNNNNNNNNNNNNNNNNNNNNNNNNNNNNNNNNNNNNNNNNNNNNNNNNNNNNNNNNNNNNNNNNNNNNNNNNNNNNNNNNNNNNNNNNNNNNNNNNNNNNNNNNNNNNNNNNNNNNNNNNNNNNNNNNNNNNNNNNNNNNNNNNNNNNNNNNNNNNNNNNNNNNNNNNNNNNNNNNNNNNNNNNNNNNNNNNNNNNNNNNNNNNNNNNNNNNNNNNNNNNNNNNNNNNNNNNNNNNNNNNNNNNNNNNNNNNNNNNNNNNNNNNNNNNNNNNNNNNNNNNNNNNNNNNNNNNNNNNNNNNNNNNNNNNNNNNNNNNNNNNNNNNNNNNNNNNNNNNNNNNNNNNNNNNNNNNNNNNNNNNNNNNNNNNNNNNNNNNNNNNNNNNNNNNNNNNNNNNNNNNNNNNNNNNNNNNNNNNNNNNNNNNNNNNNNNNNNNNNNNNNNNNNNNNNNNNNNNNNNNNNNNNNNNNNNNNNNNNNNNNNNNNNNNNNNNNNNNNNNNNNNNNNNNNNNNNNNNNNNNNNNNNNNNNNNNNNNNNNNNNNNNNNNNNNNNNNNNNNNNNNNNNNNNNNNNNNNNNNNNNNNNNNNNNNNNNNNNNNNNNNNNNNNNNNNNNNNNNNNNNNNNNNNNNNNNNNNNNNNNNNNNNNNNNNNNNNNNNNNNNNNNNNNNNNNNNNNNNNNNNNNNNNNNNNNNNNNNNNNNNNNNNNNNNNNNNNNNNNNNNNNNNNNNNNNNNNNNNNNNNNNNNNNNNNNNNNNNNNNNNNNNNNNNNNNNAGCAGAGCGCCUCUAUUCGGCGCUUUUUGCCCCCUGGUCGGCAUCCCUUGGCCGAGCAUCCCUACUAUGAUUAUUUUGGCUGGGCGCCUCUUCUUGGCGCUCUCUCUGGUCGGCAUCCCUUGGCCGAGCAGUUCUCUGGUCGGCACUCUCUGACCGAGCAGUUCUCUGGUCGGCACUCCUUGGCCGAGCAGCUUUCCGGUCGGCGCUCUUUGGCCGAGCGCCUCCGUGGAUGUAUGACUUGAGAUUUUUCCCCCAACAGACAUGAAUCCAUCUGAUCAUCUUGGCAAAAUCUUUUUUAAAAUAGAUACGCCUUGUAUCCAAAUUUCGAUAACUAUGGUAGAAUCGUGGAUAUAAUUUAAAUAACCUCACAUAAAUGAGGUCUUUCUCCGAUAAUAACCGUACGGAGUGGUAGCUUCGCUGAGAAGAUUUUUGUCCGUAAAAUUCCCACUCUUUACACUCAGCUCUGUUCUAAUUUCUCGCUCGCUUUUCUUUAGCGGAGAAAGGAGAGUAUAUUUUUAAGCUCCACCCCACGCAGAGAUACGAAGAGAGAAGGCUGGCGGCGAUGGCGGCGAACGCGGCGGACGUGGAGGUGGUGGACUUCGAGCCGGACGACGAUGAUCUCAUGGACGAGGACGGCGCCGCCGAGGUCGACGCCGCCCCUUCCCACCACAAACUCCGCUCCGCCAUCACCGGCGGCGAUCUCUCCGCCGACUCCAAGAAGACCAAAGGCCGCGGCUUCCGGGAGGAGGCCGCCGCCGCCACCGCCGAGCGCAACAGCCGCUUCGCCUUCCGGGACUUCGAGUCGCUCGACUCCGACGGCGGCCCCGGCCCCCAAAGAUGUCAGUUGUCCUCUCCCUUCUCUGAUUUUUAGGGUUUGCUAAGCGGAAUUGUUCUAGGUAUUCUAAAUCUUGUUGCUAUGUUUGUAUGCCGACAUUUUUCUCUUUGAAUUUGGGCGUGUUUAUGUUAGAAUGGUUAGGGUUUCUGGUUCCUACUUGACCUUUUCUUAUAGAUAUUUAACUAUGGAAACUGAACGAUCUGAGUGAAGAGGAACUGGUUGGGGGUAUGCAUUCCCUUGACCUUUGUUUCCCAGUUUUGAAUAAGCUUGGACUGAUCCUGGAAAGAAAAAGUAGCAGACAACUUUAUGAGUUUUAAACCAUUAUUACUCGGGUGAGGUUUCAGUAUGUUUUUCUUAGCAAUUGAAAUGUCAAAGGUUGUUUCUUGGUGCCUCGGAGCAACAAAUGAGACUAACAAUACAAUUGUGCCCUGGAGAAUUGAUGUGAACUUCUUUCAGUUGAUAAUCUUGGGGUCUGUAUAUUGCAGCGAAAAAUUGUUGUUUGUCGUGCUCUGAUGUUAGUAAACAAUGCCUAAACCUCAAGGAAUGAUGUGAAUGAUGAAAUUUGCGUGGAACAUCUUCUUGUUGAUGUUAGUUAGCCAUGGCCAUUGUGGAUUUUAUUUCUUUAUGGAAUAAAACAAUUUGGAAGGAGCACUCAAUAUUUCAUGGUCAUGAUGGAAAUGGUGGCUGUCUGUUGUAGACAUACUUCAUUUAAAGAAUUUUGAUGGAUAAAAUAUAAAUAUUUUGAAACUGAAGUAAUAUUGUAUGAAUAUUAUCUUGUUUUACUUUGAGAGAUUCUCUUUUGGGAUGAAGAAGAGGAAGUGCCUUAUCAUCUUAAGCUCUUUCUAGAAUUGGAUCAGUGACACCUUUAGUAAAUCGGUAGAAUCCUAAGUUCUUUUAGAAUUUAGAGACUUCAUUCAUUAUAUGAAGGAGAAGUUAAAAAUUUUACUUUAUCAAUAGAAAAUCAAGAAAUUAAAUUUUUCAAAGUCAAAAUUGUCUGCAGUUAUGGUAGUAACAUGCAGUUAGUACAAUCAAUAUCUUGCAAAGAGUGAUCUCAUUUAUGGUAGUGAGUUGCACUAAAAAUAAAGGAUUUUUGUUUUCUUGAUGAUUGCUCAUAGUUAGCAUUCCUAUUUAUUUUUUUGACAUGUGUCUUCUCUAUUCCCUAUAGUCUUAAUUAAUUUUAAUAUUUAAAUAAUUGAAAUAGGAAUAACAUGAUUCAAAUGGUUUUUGCAACAUAACAAGAUUUUAAAUUUUAUGGACAUAUCUUUUGGUUUUGGGUUGUUCAAAAUGUUGUUGGAGAUAAGGUAGUGAAAUUCCUUGUUGUGUAAGUUUUGACCCGCACGAAUGGUAUAAUGAUCUUGGCACUAUCUCGAGGAGAGGCUUGAUAAAAUAGACAUUCUGUGAAGAUGUCAACUUCCUGCACCUGGACACAAAGACACUAUGAAUCUUUAUUGCUCCUUGGGAUUGGCCUUGGGCCUUUCUCAUGCAAGUUUGGUGUUUCUUAACCUCGCUGGGCCCUUACCAAACUACAAGGCCAAUUUCAAAAGUGUACGGAUGAUCGAAAAUUCAUGUUUUGAUUGUUGGUUCUUCAUCUGCAUUAUUGUACAAUAGGUAAAAGCUUUUUGCUUAUUAAUAAAAUUGCCUAUUACAAAAGCAUGAAAAUAGGAGAACUGAACAAGUGAAGCUUUCAUUUAUUAAGUAAUAUUUAUGCUAUGGCUCUUCUGAGGUGCAUAGAUAUUUGCAUAGACCAAAUGAGAUGUUUUGACUUUUUAGAAGAAUCAUGUAUGAUGUUACAAAACCUAUAUUACUUGGACAUUCUUGUCCAACUCCUAUAAUCUGCACUGGAUAUGCAUACAAGUUGGAUAAUUUUCAUCCAGUUGCAAUUUUUACAAAUGGAUUUUUUUGCACGAAUGCUCUUUUAAAAAUUCAAAUUUGCAUGAAUACCCUCUUAAAAUUUAUAUUUAUUUCUGUAUCCUCACAAAACUCUAUUUUUGCACAAGUGCCCCUAAUAUAACGGUUCUUCUAACACCGUUAAUAAAAAUCAUAUUUAUUUUAAUUAAAAAUAAAGUAGAAUUUUGAAAUCAUUUUUUUGCCUUUUAUCGCGAUCGCCUUAUAAAUGUUUCCUUUUGCACCCAUUAAAAGUAUUUUAGUCAUUUUAAUUUGAAACCAUUAAUGUUUUAAAGGCGUUAGAUGACGUAGGUACAUAUGAUAAAAACAAGAAUAAAAAAUGGGUAGAAUAGCAAAACAAAUGUUUUACGAGGGUAUAUAUGCAAAUAUCAAUUUUGGAAAGGUAUUCAUGAAAAAUUUGAUAUUUAGGAGGGUAUUCAUAUAAAAAACCUUUUACAAAUUGGUAAUUUCAAAAGUGAGCUUUGCUCUUUUUAGAAUUGGCGAAUAGCUUACAUAUUAAAAUAGCUUUGCAAAAUAUAUUUUUCUCAAAAUUCUUAGUUUGUUUGGGAAGUUGGAUGAGAAACAUGUAUAAGAAAAGCUAGGAGGCCACACCUAGCAUUUUCAUGUUGUUUCCACCACUUACUAAUUGGCUUCUCCAGUAUCAUUUUUUUUUGUUGGAGCUCUUAGAAAUUGCUAGACAGUUGACUCUAUCGGAAAAUAGUCUUGAUCCACUAUUAAUAAUUUCAAAAAUGUGCUUUUGUUCUUUUAAGAAUUGGUAAAAAUAUAAUAUAAAAAUGGCGUUGCAAUUUUUUUUAAAAAAUUCUUGAGCUAAUUGCAAAUCUUGAAUUUGGGAAACAUGUAUAUUGAAAGGCUUUAUUGUCCUGUUCAUCCUUUCCUACUUUUUACAUGGAAUUCUAUAAUUUUCCCAUUGCAAUCCUUGCACUUUUAUUCAUUGAGGUCUAUAAUUGUAAUUUACAUUAUCAUACGAAUGAUUUCUCUUGUGCCAUCCUUCUCUUAGUUUCAUGACAUGAGAUUUCUAUACAAGCUCAUAUUUUUUGUCUAUUUUCCAAUCAUAUCUGUGGAUCUUUCUAAAUUUCGAUAAGGUAUAUAUCAUUAACUCAUUCAAAUAUUUUUAUAGCUUUUCUACAAGAAAGCACAUCACGUUCUUCAUACAUUAAGGUCGCAUAUACUUUGUCUUCCAGCUGAGACAUCAAGCGCAUGAGUUUUUUUAACUUGUAAUUCUUAUAUAUGUCAUUUUUGUUUUGUAAUUUGAACAGCUAUUGAGGGAUGGAUUAUACUGGUCACUGGAGUUCAUGAGGAGGCUCAAGAAGAUGAUCUCCAUAAUGCUUUUCGGGAAUUUGGGCUGGUCAAGAAUUUGCAUCUAAAUCUAGACCGUCGUACUGGAUUUGUCAAGGUAAAUUAGCUCCUUCCAUUUUAAUUGCUUUAAACAAUCAUAAUGGUCUCACCUGCCAAGUCAGUGACGUCUCCUUCCAAUCUGAACUUUGCGACCCUUCUCAGUUCAGCAAUUGGUUGUUGUAUUAUUGCUUAAAAUAUUUUUAUUUUCCUGUAAACAUGGUCUUACCUAUUGAAAUUUGUUAACAAUAACCAUAACAAUCAAGCCUUGCCCCAACAAUUUGAGGUCAUUUUGUGAAUCAUCAUCCACAAAUUAUUCCUAGGGAGGGCUAUCUUCUGUUUUAGGGAAAGCUUUUCAUCCAUUUUAGUUUAGGACUCUGCUUCCUUUUACCAAGACCUUUGCAUAUAUUCUAGUACCCCUCCUAUCCAGGGCCUCCUCAUACUAUCUUGAUUGGUUCACUUUUUUCUCAAUUUGUAUAACCUCUACAGUCUCUCUAGUUUAUUUGGUUCUCACUAUGCCCUUCAUAGUUUUACCACUCAUCUACCUUAAAAUUCUCAUUUUUGUUAGGUCGAGGAUAACAAUAUUAAUUAUAGAGAAACUUAAUAAAAAUAUUAUUAUUAUUUUCAUUGAAAUUAACAUCAUGACUCUAAAGCGAUGAGGCAUUACUUCAUGGAUUAUUAUAUUAAGGUGAUAGAGUGCUGUUGCAAAAUAUCACUGCCAAGUUUGAUUACCCCAUUUUUCUGUGGUCUAAUCUGUUGACUGUGUGCUUUUCUAUUUGACAAACUUUCUCUGAUUCUCCCUUGAGGUGGCAAGUUUACCAGGUUUUAAUGGAGUAAAUGAAAAGAAUAAAAUAGUGCAAAGGCAAAUGGAAAACAUCUUUUCAGACGUUGUCCCAAUUUUUCGUUGAAGUGCUUCAAUUUUAUUAUUAUUAUUAUAUUAAAUUUUUAAUUGUUCUGGAGGAAAAUCUACUGAUCUGUUUUUAAUUUAUUAAUUAUCUUAAGAAAAAUACAUUUCACUUUUUUUUUAACAGAAUUCACUUAAAAUUACUGAAAUAAAAAAAUAGAGCAUAUAAACAUGUUUAUACAAUUGCAUCUUUUCAUUCUGAACAAAAUAGUUACAUCAGAAAAAAUCCAAACCAUGCUUCUAUUUCACUUAUUCUUAAAACAUGAUUAUGACUAGUCAUGAUUAUUUAAUAUCUCUUAUGUUCUUCUUAGGUCUUCAUUGACAGUGAUGAAUCUUGACCCAUUUGUUCUUAGCAAUCAUGUUGAAGCAUAAUCCAUAGAAUCAUGUAUGUACCUAUAGUAAUAGAACAGAACUCUUUGGUUCGAUAAGUCUUUCAGAAGGAUGAGGAUAGAAAUAUUCAAUAAAGACUCAUUUGUCAUAAAAGAGGCUUUUCUUUGGAAUUUGGUAGGGACAAUGCAAAGAUCGUUGCCAGCAAUUAGGGGAAGGGGAUAUUGGGUAUUUAAAUGCUUUUUCCCCAAACAGGAAUCUCAAUGCUUGGUUUUAAAAGUGGCUGCGUUUGUGGGUGGUCAAUGGUAGCAUAGUGCAUAUGCAGUGUGCGGAUCGUGUGUAUGGGUGCGCAUGCAGUUACUAUUUUUCGACUAUUUAAAAAUAGAUAUAAUAUAUCAAGGAUAAUAAAAUAACAAUAAUGACAAUAAUUUUUGAUGGAUGGAUAAUAGCAUGAUUCAUAACACUAAUAAUUAAUAGUUAGUGCUUAUUGCUUAGUCACUAAUACCCAGUAGCAAUAAUUGUAACAUAGUCAAUACUUGUUUCAGCCUUCAGGCCCACCUGAAACCUUUGUCAAAUGUAACCAUCAGCUUAAACCUAUUUCACCUAUAUGGUCCGUAUAAGAGUGGGCUGUAUAUGUAGCUUUAGAAUACUAAGUAGGCUCACAUAUAAAUCUGUACGAUGCUAAGUACACCAUACUUGCAGCCAUGCAAUACUAAAUAGAUCGCCUUUUUGGUCCAUAGAUGGCAUGACCACUUAUAUACUGCAUAUAGGCAAGGCGCUGUGGAUGCUAUGCGGCAGUAUGCACCACAUUUAAGAACACCAUGAAUGCUUUUAGAACCUAUCUAUUUUUGCCAUGAAGUUAUUUAGCCACCCUUAAGGAACUGUUUUUGAAUUUUACUAAUUUGGGUGAAUUAGUCAAAGCAACAACAAUCAAUUUGAAGAAUCAUCAAAUUAUCACUGAUUGUUACAUGUGAUGUAGAUCAUAUUUCUUUAAAGUACUUCAUAAUGCAGCCUUAUUUUAUCAUUUUCUUGGAUUUGCUCAUAUGUCGUGACCACUUUUUCAAAUCAGACCCUACCACCAUAUCUAUCAUGUUCUGAGUCCAGUUUGGUGUUUGAUUAGUUAUGGCAAAAAAUUGCAAACUAACUAAUGCACAUUCAGUAGUGGGUUGGACCAUUCAAAUAUUUACCUGUCUGUCAUGAUUUAGGACAGAAAAUUUAAAAGAAAAAAUAAAAAAGAAGCUCACCAUAUAAUUUGAAAAUGUCCCUCUUGCACAUUACCAAACAAACCUACCACCACACUGUUUCUUGUAUAUUGCGUAAGAUACUGCACUUCAUAUAAUGAAAGUCAAGGUUUGCUAUAAGAUCUCAUCAUUAGGUUUGAAUGUACAAUCAGCCAAUUUGGACUUAUAUGUCUCAACCUAACUCUAUUUCAAUUUUAUGUCUUGCCAAGUUCUAAUAACCAUUAUUUCAUAUUCGAAUUGAACUGACUUUGUGCAAAUAUAUCUUGGAGUCUGAUGAUCUACCAUUUCAGUGGAGAAGACUACCAUUCUAUGUUAAACCAAAACAAAUAUAGGAAGUGCUUUACGAGGAUAACAUUUAAGGUCAUCAUAGCGUUGGGGUAAUUUUUUGUCUAAAGAUUAAGAGAGGAUUGUGUUUUGGCUAGUACCGUCUCUUAUUAAUUGACAUCUGCAAUGAUUUGGAUGUUGUAGUGGAGUAUGCUGAGAAGUUAAUUUCAUAUAUUUUUAACUUAUCAAGUUGGAAAUGUUGGAAUUUUUUGAUCUAUUUGGGCUGGUUUUAUAGCGGAGAUGGAAUUUUGUAUAAACUACUUACAUGCACUAGGAGAUGUAUGUAUAUGUAAUAUUUGUAUGUAUAUAUGUAUGUAUGUGAGGGCUAAAAUGUGGAAGUAAAUAAGGUCAAGGGAUUAUGCAAAUAAUAGACCUCGAUAGCAAGUGUAUCUUUCUUAUAGAUAUGUAGAGUUUGAGGGAUGAGGAAGUUAAGGGCCAACUAUGGCCUGUUUGUUCUUGUUGCUGUUUUUCUGUUUUUGAUCCUCUAAAGAUAGUGAAAUACCCACAUUGAGGUUGAUAUUGGAGAUAGCAUUUGCAGAAAACUUCUACCAUUCUUUGCUUCCAUUUUCACUCAUUCUGAAAGCAAUAAAUCUUUGCCACCAAAAGUUCUAAAGAUUUUACAUAAUAAUUUAGAAAAUAAAAGGGUUUCAUCAUAGAUGUUGUUCAGUCUGGUUCAUUUUUCUUCUUGGGUUUUUGAAAACAGAAACUGAAAACAACAGCAGUACCAAAUGGCUGCUUAGUUUUCCAAAACUGCCCAUGCCUUUAAUGAUCUCGUAAUAAAUUUUCCAACAAUAAUGAAUUAGUUGUCCAUCUAUGGGCAAAUAUGACAUACCUAAAGGCUGCAAGUCAUUCUUUUUAACAUAGCAAUGUCAGAUAUAUAUGCAUAUGAAUAUAUAUUUGUAUUUUCAUUUAUUUAUAUAUUGGUGGCAUUUCACUUUCAAUGUGACUAGUGAUUUCUUGAUUAAUCUUAGAAAAAUUUGGAAUCACUUUUUAUAUUCAAUAUGUGUUCGUUCAUCUUGUGUGGGAUGUACACAAACUAAAUGAUGGAGAGGCAACGACCCUCGCUUAUCUAUUUGUGCUUUCUUUAGUGUUCUGGGGUUUACAAAUGUAAAGGGGGAAGAUCAUUAGAAUAUAGUGAGUAGAUGGCCUCUGCCAAUCCCUUGAAGGCAUGAUGGUAAUUAUAAAUUGGGCAUGAAUGAAGGACACCUGCAAAAAUUUUGUGUUAAUUUUUCUACUGACAACAUGGAUCCAUGAUUUAGUUUUGUUGCUUUUUAAUCUUUUAACCAGUCUCAUUACUUGAUUUUGAGAAUUUGGUUUAGGAUUAGAAAUGAGAGUUGACAUGAAUCCUCUCAUCCUUAAAAUAAGUCCUAUUGACCCAACAUUUCAAUAUUUUUGUUUUAUCAUAUAUUCUGCACUGGUCUUUGGAACAAACUAUGGUUUAUCGUACCUUCUCAAACCAGAUGGUGCGGAGCGUAUCAUACCGUACCGGUACUCGGUAUGUCAAAAACGCUCCGUGCCAACACUUGGUACGCCAAAAGGCCUCGUACCGUACCAAUCAGUACUAAUGUGGCACCAGUACAAGGUCUGGUACCGAAACAGCGAAUUUUGGAACAAAUAUAUGCUCAAUUUCAGUUCUUCAGCCUUAAAAAGUUCGUUUUGAUUGCUCAUUGCCAUCUUUUAUGGGAUUUAAAAUCGCUGUUUUAAAAAGCAUUUAUGUGGUUGCAUAUUCAUAUGCAGCACUCUAACUGCUGAGCAUAGGGUCCAAGCUGUAUGUGGAUGGACUGCAGACCAUGUCGUGGGUGCCCAAGUGGCUUGCGUAAGCUGAAGACCUGGUUAUGUGGCUUUCUGCAUCUAUAAUUUUUCUCAUUUUCUCUGAUUUUUUUAAAGUUAUUUCUAAAGUUUCUAUUCUUUUAUCUGUUAUUAUGAAUUCAGUUUUUUUUUAAAUAUUUUAAACAAAAGAAUCAUAUAGGUACCUGCCUAAGCAGCUGUAUACUGCAUAAGCACUGUGAUACCUUGACUGCCUGCAUACUAUGGCUUCUCAGAACUUGUUUGGAAUGACACUCAGAAGAAUACUGCAUUAACUAUUAAAGUUAUCCGAGUUGGUAGGAAGGAGAUACUACAAGUUGCAUUUCAUGUCUAUUGGAUACUUCUUAGAUGCAUUCAGGAUAUUUGGCAGACACCUCCAUGGAUGAGGGACAAGGAUUUUUUUUCUUUUAGUUUAUGGAUUUGUUGGUUUUGACCUUUCAAUGUGAAGCAAAACUAUAAAGCUGCAUGCUAUGAAAUAACAAUAAAUGAACAUUUGUAUUUACAGUAUUUUUUUAAGAACAAUAUUUACAGUACUAAUGUAUAUGUUCCACAACUUGUAUGACCAUUAUUUACUGUAUUUGACUAAAUUUGCUCAACAGUUCUGCAGUCUUACUUUUAUUGAGCCAAAUACCUGAAAGGGUAACUUGCUCUUGGUUAAUUAACUUCCACAAAUAUUAUAAUUGUAACCAUACAGACUCAUGCACAAGAUAUUGUUGAUGAGGCACAGUUCAUCGUAGCUCGUAUGUUAGCAUAGUGAUGGGUUGUUGUACUGACCAUAACAAGAGGUUCUAGAUUUGUCAGAACAAGUUUUAUCCCUCACUAAAAGUCUGCACAGUUUUCCAUUUUUGAGGUUCCCCAGGAAAAAAAAAACAAAGAGCUCAGUACUUCUUGUAUUAUGCCUUCAUGAUAUAACUAAUUAAAAAAAUUGUAUUGAAAAGCAUGAUAUUGAAGGAAUAUACUCUUUCUACCUCUUCAUUAAGUAAAUUCAAUUUAUGCAUUGAUAAUUUCUGUAUUUCUUCGUCUGUAGUUGCCACUUACAGUUUUGUCUUUGAACCUUUUAUGAGAUAGGGGUAUGCGCUAAUUGAAUAUGAGACAUUCAAGGAAGCACUAGAUGCAAUCAAAGCACUGAAUGGAACUGAGCUUCUCACACAAACUAUUUAUGUUGACUGGGCAUUUAGCAAUGGCCCAUUCAGGCGCAGAAAUGCGAGGAGGAGGUAGAAUUCUAUAUACUUGACCAAUCAUUAUUUUCAGCCAAGUGAUCUCUUUGGAGUACUUUAUUUCUGCAUCGAUGUAUUGAAAAUGUUUUGUACUGCAUAUGCUUGUAGAGUUAAUCUGAAUGAAUGCAGAAAGGAAAAGAAAAGAAAAGCAGCUCUCUCAUUACCCUUUCAUGUAUAGGUUCCUGUUUUGUUGGUCGCAUUAUUCUAGAAUCAUCUUAGGUUCCUAAGUGCUCCUAAUUUGUUGAUCAUACUUUAAUAAGUGAAAAGUACAUUAGAUGGUAGUCAUCAUUUUUAUAGGCUCUAUUUUUAUUAAGUAUAAAUCAUUUAUGCAUGGCAUUUGUCUGAGUACACUUGAUUUCCUUGCUAACCGUGUUAUUAGUUGCCCAAAGGUUUGCUAUUAUCAUGAUGCUGGUGGACCUGCUUUUACGGUCUUUAGGAUCUCCAGCAGCUGAUCCUCAUUCUGCUCAAAGCAUUUCUGUCUUUCUCGUACUUAGAUAGCAAUAGCACAUUUGCUUUCUCUUUCAAUAUUUUAUCAAACCAAGUUAUUUAUUGCUUUUUCUUGCUGAAUGCUAAUAUAAUUCCAAAUAUUUUUCAGUAAAAUGCAGUACUUUCCUUUUUAGUGUGGAUUUUUUUUUUUCAAUCAUCUGCAGAUCACCACGUGUGCACCGUUCAAGGAGCCCACCUAGGCGGAGGUAUUGAAAUGCAUUAAUCUGCCCACCGGACGUUAGAUUUUAGUGUGUUGAGAUUUGGGAUUUGGAGUUCAAUCAUUUUCGUGGUUUGUUUGAUGCUAACAGAGAAAGUUAGAUAUAUAUUACUGGGCUUGAUUGAAAUCUGUAUGCUUCACCCACUGGUAGUUUUAGUUGUUGCCCUUUUCCUUUGGAUUCUUUUAUGUCAUGUUCCUUAAACAAGGUAUGGCCUUUGGGUGAACUAAUGAUGUACUUAAUUGGAGGUCUUUAUUAAUUAGUGCGCUGUCUAUUGGAUAUCUAAUGAUCUUUGUGCUAUUCCAGAAAUGCAGAAAUGGAGUCUUCAAAAUUUUAUGAUAUGGGAUGUAAUAUAGGCACUUCAAAUUUUAAGAUACUGGUUUUGAAAAGCGUGCUUUGAUGUUAUUGCUUGCUGGUUUAUAAGAUGCACAUAAACAAGAAUGGGACUUGCGGUUUGCUUAAUGACAAUAUAGUGAGGUCCGGUUCGGCCUGCCCAAUUUCCAUGUUUUUUGUUCACUUCGCAAUGUUUGAACUACCUUUCUAUCAAAGAAUAUUGUCAGUUAUGGAUGUGCAUUAAUCUUUGGAUUCCUAACCACCUCUCUCACUGCUGAUCAUAUUUGUACUUGCCCUUUACAUAUGGUUUUAGAGUGAUCAAUCAGAUUGGUUUCUGCUUGACAAGUUUUUCAUUAUUAGUGAGCAUGUUCAUUUGUCUGUAUUUUAAUGAUUAAUGAUCGAAACCAAGAUUCGUUGUUUCGGUACCAAACUCCGUGCUAGUAUAGUAUGGUACAAAUUUUUUUUGACAUAUCGAGUGUCAGUAUGCUAUUAGUACCGAAUAUUAGUAUUGAAUUGCUAUAGUAUGAUAUAUUUUUACCUUUCGGGUUGUAGCAUAUACAUGUUGCUUAUUAAAGAUGGUUUGGUUCACCAACAGAGCAUUUACUUCAGGUCGUGCUUUCGCAGUUACAAGAAGUCUGUAUGCUUGCUUUGCAAAUAAGAUACAAUGGUUAAUGCUAGUCCUGAUCCAGCAGUACAUUGUACUUUGAGUCAUGUCAAAUUGCAAACUAUUCCCGGGUGAACUUGGGGUGAACACGUGCUGUUUUUGAAUCUCCCUAUUUCAUGAGUGUUGGGAUAAAUUUUGCUCAAGCAUUGCUAAUUGGAAAUAUGCUAAGAAACAAUGUUAAGUUGAGACAAACAUUAUUUUUUUUUUUUUGGUAAAAAUUUGAGACAAACAUUCGGUCGCUAGUUAAUGACCUAAAGAUUUGAAAAAGAUUAUCUAAGAAAAUUGUGGAACAAUUCCUGGAAGGCUGAAUGUUGCACCAGUAGUUGGAAAACUGGCCAUCUAGCUUAGUACGUAGAUCAUUUAUUCUUCCGUUGGAGAUCUUUUUCUCCUCCCCACUUCUUGGUUAUUGAAGAUUUCUAUUAGAGCAGAUUGGAGUGUAGAAUUCCUUCUCUUGGAUUGAAUCAAAAGAAUAUUAACAAGAGAUUAUAGUAGCAUAAAGGACCUAUCAAUUUAAAAAUGAUAUAUAUUUUUGUAAGAACUAGUACGGGAGGAAGCCUUAAUUCCGAAAUUAAAGUGAGCAGGAUUUCAAACUAAAUCACUACCAACAUCCAAUGACUUCACCAAUUGAAUCAUUUGGCACCCUAGUGAUGGCAUUGUAGGCAUAUAAUCAUUGUACGACAAGAACAUGAAUCCAAUAAAUAACAAUUGAUCCACCACCAACCAAUAUUUAUAAACAAAGAGGUAAUUAUAUUCAAUAUUUCUAAAGUACCAAGUGGGUUCAAUUGUUAAUAACUAAAAAUAUUCAAAAUCUCGUUGAUUAAUAUUGUUUUGCAAACUAUUGAUAUCUUCUGAUUUUCAAUGAUAUUAAUAAAUGCAAGUUUCUGCAUAUUCCAUGCAAAUUUCCUCAUAUUUAAAUAUAUAAUCUAGCCUAGUCUACAACUAAAACCAGAUAUAUGAGUAGAUCUCAGCAGCUGGCAAAAUGAUGCUGGUAUAAAGAGGCACAAGGGUGUGAGAAUUGAGGUUCUAGGGGUUAUGGGCAAUUCAAUAUUGCUCAUAAACAUCUUCAAAUGACUAAUCGUACAACUGAAAGAUUCAAAAAGGAAAAAAAAUUGUUAAUGAACGUCCCCGGGACAUCUCGGACCAAUUUUUAAGAAUUUCUUUUGAUAUCAGGUCACUAAGAUUUCUCAAAUUAUAAAGAAAAAGUAAUGUAACCCUGGCACUGAUGGAUUUUCUUUAAAAAAGAAGAACGAUGGCAGUAAUGACCAACAUCACUAAGCAAAUAAAUAAAUAGAUAAAUAAAUAUAAAACUAUGACUAUAUUGUCUCACAAAUAUUACUGGCUAGCAGGAGCUCCAAAAUUUAUUAAAUACAUUUUUGUAACACAGCAAGGUAAGGUGAGAGCUCAAGCUAGAUCCAUGUUUAAGGAACACAUGUCAAGAAUAUUUGCGUGAUAAGAGACUAAUCAACAUAUACGUUGCAUAGUUAAAAAGCUGUGAAUUAUAAACAGGAUUAUUGCUCCCUUAAUUUGUAACAAAGAGAAAUGAAAACAUUUUUGAUUUCUGUACAAAUGCGAAAACAAACAUACUCUCCAAACAUUACACUCCCACAUAAGACCUGCAAUAGGAACUACUGCUUGUCUCUGUCCUACAGGAGAGAGAAGAAUGACUCAUGGUCUCCCUUCGGUCCAAAUACUUCCUCCUCUUUGCCUCUGGUGCCUCUUCCUUCUUAAGAUCAUCGACGCACUUUGCAUCAGCAAGGCAUGUGAAAGACCGUGAUCUACCAGAGAAAUAAUUCGACAAUCCUUUCCUCCUGCAAAGAAAUAUAAUAAAGCAAGCAUGAGCCAGUGCAAUUUAAUGGCAAACUAACCAUAAAACUCGUGUUAUAUGAAUUCCAGCACUAAACUAGCGGCAAUAAUAUGCAGCUAGGAGAUGCUGCAAUGAGAAAUUGGAUGAUAUACUAUUCUCCUGUCUGCUUGAUGAAACCAUUUUUCAGAAGCUUGCAUGAAAACGACAGAGAAAGAAUAUAUUUUUAUUUUUCUACUGAAGAUAUAUAUGAAACUAGAAUGCAUGAGAUCAGAUAUUGGGCUCUUACUUUUGAGGGAGAUGAGAACUUAGAGAUCUCAUGUCGAAGAAAUCGAUGCCUUCCGAUUCUUUGUCGGAGGUGGAGUUGGAGGUGGAGGCGGAGGGGGAGGGGGAGAUGGUGGUGGGUGGCAUUGCGUUGUGUUGAACGAUAAGGUGGUGGAGGUGGUGGUGGUGGGGGUUUUAUAUGGGAGGGUAUCGAAUAAAGGAUGGGGUCAAAAGAGGCUCAUCAUAUGGAUAAGAGCUCAAGACGUGGAUGGAUUUGAGUGAAGCUCGGCUCGAUAAAGAUGGGCUUCAGUUUAGCCUCACAGCGUGUGCGGAGGGCAUUUUGGGGCGGGCAUCAGGAGGGCGACAUCAUCCCUCAUCUUUAUCUAUCCACCGAGGCCAAGCCAAGCAAAAGGGGUGCUCUUUCCUUGUACCAACCAUGUGUUUUUUGCAAAAUAAUAAAAAAAAACUUUGUGCUUUUCCUAGCAUAAGGAUACCUUUUUGCUUGGUCUUUGUUCUAACUCUACACUUUUAUUUUUAUUUUUUAUGUGUUAAGGUAUAGGAUCCAUUUCCUUGCUCUACUAGGAUGCUUAUGCUUAUUUUAUGAGACACUAUAUUCGUAAGGCAUAUAUAUUCUGUGAAUCACUAUAUACUUUUCUCAUCCUUUCCAUCAUAUUCCUCAAUCAUAAAAAUUAAAUCUGGUAUAUUUAUCAGAAGAUAAAAUUUUAAGAUGCUUGACUUAUGUCUAGGUUUGGAUACUUCAAACACAAAGUUGUACCACCUCUUCUUUCAUCUCCGGUUAAGCAAUUAGCUCGAAAGUUUCGCUCUCUAUACACAUGGCAUAUUUGUUUUUUGGGCUA
RNAcentral lists this long non-coding RNA (68314 nucleotides) under Phoenix dactylifera (date palm). RNAcentral's name for it is "long non-coding RNA (PDAC_LNC001946)". Lineage: Eukaryota; Viridiplantae; Streptophyta; Magnoliopsida; Arecales; Arecaceae. The record is from RNAcentral.